GCCUAGUAUUGUCUCUCCCUGUUUGAUUCUUAGCAUAGCAAUUGGCUAAUAAUUGUGCAAAGGGCACACUGGUCACCGGGUCAAGUGUGGCAUGCACGGUGGCAGUGCCACCUGCUGAUUGACAGGCAGGGUCCAGGAGUCACAUGUUGUUGGCUUGUUACCACCCGAGGUGUCGGAACCUUGCCUCCUUUGUUCGCCUAUGGGCAGCAGGUUUGUGGGCACCAACUGUAGCCUAAUCUGUUUUCCUUUCUCUUUUUGGUAGGCACAUAGACCUUGGUGACAGAAGACAAAGAUCCCAUUGGCCCUUCCAGCUGCCCUGGCCACCAACCCCUCCUUCACAGGGGGUCCUGCAACUCCCAGGUGGUGCGUGUUGGAAUGGACUUCAGACCCCAGCCUCUUGGGAUGCAAAGGUAGCUGCUCUUGGUUCCCAAGGUGCCCCUGGGAAGAGUGGGCCUGCCAGUUUGGGGGUUGCGCCUUAGGAUGGGAAAUGCGUAGGCCCUAGGCCACCCUUUCUCAGUGGGUUCCAGCCUGGGUGGUGGUGGCUUAUGCAGCACAGGUGAAAGUGGAAAGAACAUGAGGGUGAGGAGAGGGCCCUGGUCUAGGAGCCGGGCACCUGCAACUUAGUCUGGGCUUUGCCAGCAGCUCACUGCCAGCUCCCCCUGAAUCUCCAUUUUCUUACCUGGAACAUAGCAAGUUGGAGUAACUGACCCUAAAGAGUCCUCCCAGUGGUCCUGUGGGUGACACUGGAUGGUAUGGCGUGGGCGGGCCAGGGUGUCAGGUGAGGCCUCCGCCUGUCAGAUAGCCAUCCUGGAUCUAGGCAUCGGGUCAUCUCUGAACUUCAUCUCAGGGACCUUUCUGUAUGGGCAGAGGCUUCUCUGAGCUCUGGGCUCAGCCUGGGGAGACCCACUGGGGCUCUCUUGGGUGGCUCCAGCCAGGCCUCCUUGGGGACUAGUAGGAGCCCUGAAUACAACCCAGGGAUUGCAAAUCAGAUGCAAACGUGGGCUUUGGUUGCUGGGGUGGAGCGACAUGUGGCUGAGACUCUUCUUCCUGGCAUCCAGGAUGUGAUCGGGCUCCAGGAAUCGGUCCAUCUGUACCUAAGGUGUGCUGCUGUUGUCCUGUUGUCACCUGAAAAAGGCCACGUGGGGGGAUUGGUGGCUGCGAGGUCUUGCUUGCAUUCGGUGCCAGCAUCUGUACCUCUGCCUCUCCCGGAGCUCUUCCUGCCAUCUCUGCCCUCUCUGAUGAUGAGUGUUGGGAAGGCGGGAGCCUCAGGUUGGCUCCCAGCCCGCCCUGCGCCCUGCUCCAGAGGCUGCCCGAGUGCCCCUCUGAGGGGACAGGUUCGCCUCUUCUCUUCUUGGUGGCAGGCUUUUUGUUUUCUUCUUUCUCUGGGCAAAACAUGCCCAUUAGUUUUUCCCUUUCUGAAGUUUCCACUCACUGUUGGCUCCCAGGGGCCGUGCCAGCUGGGAUUUGCACCCGGCACAGGGUAGGGGCCCAGCAGGUCCGGUGGGACUCCCACAUCCUGGCAUUGGCUGUCUUGGGCUUGAUAAUGAAGCUUGGGAACCCUGCGGGCUCCGAGAGGGAAUGUGGUCACCGAGUCCCGCCUCACUUACCCGUCCGUUUCCAGUGACGGGCUUGGCCACAGCCUGGGGUUCUCAUGGCAGGGUGACCCCUGGUCUCAGAGGCAUCCAGCCUGACCACAGCAUGGGCGAGGGAGCCAAGACUGGGCUCAGUCUGGUCCACAGGCCUGGCUUAGCGUCUCCCAAUUUCUGGCUAUUCUCUGCGAGAUCUGGUCACAUUUAUCCUACAGUCACAGAGGGUCUGGUGUCUGCCACUCUCUCCCCCAUAGACAAAGUGGACAAGAAACCCCUGCUCUCACCAAGUUCCUGUAGCAGAGGUGACAACCAGCACACCCACAAAACUGAACAAAGACUUGGUGCUGAAUGGAAUGUGCCCGGGGCACUUAAGGCAGGAUGCACAGAGGAGGCCUCUGAGGGGACAGCUGAGAUGAAGGACAGGAAGUGGACAGCCAUCUGAAGAGCAGGCAGGAGAAUAUUCCAGAAAGGGAGAACAGGUAGUUUAAAAGUCCUAAGGAGGGGCUGGGGAUGUGGCUCAAGCAGUAGCGCGCUCGCCUGGCAUGCGUGCGGCCCGGGUUCGAUCCUCAGCACCACAUACAAACAAAGAUGUUGUGUCCGCCGAAAACUAAAAAAUAAGUAUUAAAAAAAAAAUUCUCUCUCUCUCUCUCUCUCAAAAAAAAAAAAAGUCCUAAGGAGGGAGGAACUCACUACGUUCAGUGUCCAGGAGGAAAGGCCAAGUGGCCGGGAGGUAGAUAGGGCAGGGGCCUGGAUGUGUAGGGCGUAAAGUGUCAGGGGAGAAGGUGGGAUUUUAUUCUUGGGUGACAGGAUGUCCCCUAGAGGCACCUUAAGGAAGGAGGUAGUGAGAUGCUUUUUGUUUUUUAAAGACAGCCGGAAACCAGAUGCCCUGGCGCAUUCCUGUAAUCCCAGCCACUCAGGAGGCUGAGGCAGGAGGAUCUCAGGUUUGAGGCCAGCCUGGGCAACUUAUCAAGAAUAAAAUAAAAAGGGCUGUGGGUGUGGCUGGGUGGUAAAGGGCCUCUGGGUUCAGUCCCCAGUCCCCAGAAAAAAAGUGUGAGGGUGUCCUGGGAAGCAUGCAUCAGAAUGGCGGCAAGGGAAGAAACCAGGAGGCCAGGGGACGGGAGGAGUGAGGGGCCUGGAUGGAAGCUGUGUGCCCAGAGGCAGAGUUAGUGGAACUUACCAGUGGAUUGAAUGGGGUGAGGGAAGGAGGGGUCAGCACGCCUCCAGGGUUCUGAGCCCCUGGGGUGUGGCCUGCGUCUUCUUUCUGACAGUGCCAAGAGACCCAUGGCUCUUAGACAGUUAACACCUUGUGGGUUGGAGGAGGGGCGCCAUCUUGGAACCAAGCCGGUGGCCAAGCAAGUCCUGAAGGGCUUGGGUGCCCCUUGGUCCGCCUCCAGCAGCCAGCCUUGGAGCAGGCUGUGACUUCCAUGCUGGCGAUGCUUUCAGCCCUACGACUCUGCACGACACCAGCUUUGGGCUUUUGCUCCAGGGGUCCUGUGCUGGGUCUGAGGUUGGGCACAGACGUCCGUAGAGUUUCUCUCAGUGGGGCUUUACAUGUGGUCUGUCUUCUGAGCUCCUGAACCUUUUCCUUCGUGCUUGGUCAUAUAGACCCUCAGUUGAUCAGCUCUGAGGCUGAGAAAUGGGACUGUCUAAGACCUGGUCAUGUCCAUGGGACCCAUUUCAACUGCCUGCUCUUGCACAUCUGCAGAGAUCUUGGGGGUCUUUUAUUUAUUUAUUUUAGUUGUCGAUGGACACAAUAUUUUUCUUUCUUUAUUUUAUGUGGUGCUGAGACUUGAACCCAGUGCCUCACACAUGUUAGGUAAGCACCCUGCCACUGAGCUACAGCCCCGGCCCUCUUGGGGGGGUCUUUCCUCGUGGAAAGCUGUGCAUUUCCCUAGGUGGCCCAUCAGACUUGAACUCAGGCCCUGUGACUUUUUCUGGGGCCUCUGUCGUGGACUCCACUACCCCAGGUCCUGACAUCAUCUGCAAGGACCAGGCAGGAGGAGGCAAGCCCAGCCUGGUGCUGUGACAGUGAGGCAAUCCCCGACUCCCCCCACCCCCACAGGCUUUGUGCAGCCCUGGGCACUGCCAUGUAAUUCGGUAGCAAGCCAAAGGCCUGGCUGGCACAAGCGUGAAGCUGUCACCACCGGCUGCUGGGCCCCAUGUGCACUUGCCCGUGCUGGCAACACACCCCCAGCCAUAUGGGCCAGCUCGGCCCUCCAGGAAGCUCUGGAGGCCUGACCUCCAGGGGGCGUGACAGGAAGGGCAGGCCAGCUACGUUUCGCAGGGGGCAUCAGGGGUGUCCCGAGUGGGAAGCAAUAUGUGACACAGCAGCUCAGCCCUCCAGGAAGCUCUGGAGACCUGACCUCCAGGGAAGUAAUGGGAGGGAGCAGAAGGGCAAGCUGGUGGCGGCUGGCAGGGGGUGACAGGGAUGUCCCAGGCCCACAGCUGGUGCCUCAGCCUGGCUCGGAGGGGGCCGCCAGCCAGUCCUCCUGGGCGUGCCUGCUGGCCCUGGGGGAGGGUGCGUCUGUGCACACGUGGGAGGCUUUUCUGCUUUCUGCCUCCAUGGUCUGCACUAGAUCCAUGACCUUCACUCCUAACUGGACUGGACAGUUCUAAUGCCAUCCUCCGGGGCUUUGAUCUGAUGUGAGGCUGGCAGCUCCAGAGCACGCAGCUGCGGUGGGGGAAGCAGAGAGGUGGGUUCCGGAGAGGGAUGUGGGGCCAUGUUCUCCACCACCCUGGGUGACGCAGAGCUCAGGAGGAUGAGUGGGUUCCAGUGGUGCAGCCCCGUGAGGGGUUGUGACUGGGAGAAGGUUUGGAAAGAGCCACUGAUGGUUCUGGUUCUAAUCUGGGUAGGAAUUCUGUCUGAUGGCACAGGCGCCCCGCCCUUGGCCCUUCAGUUUUUCCUUAUAGAAUUGGAAGCCCCCGCUACCCCAGGCACUGACUCAGGGACGCGGGCUGGCAGGUCUGGCAGCACCUGCCCUGUGUAGAGCUCCUGGGGGUCUCAUCUGGUGCCAGGGUUGCUCGAGCAGAACAACGAUGGCUUUAGGAGCGCUGACACCUUAAGGACCAAGGGAGAUGCUCGGCCUCAGUCCCUGUGGCCUCUGGGUGCCUGCAGCAAAAAAAUACCAGUAACAGAGGAGCCCCGGAGGCUGGGCACGCGUCCCCUUCCCGUGUAGACCUGUGGGCUCCUGCUGUCCCACCAGCGUCCCCUUGGCCUCUUUCAUUCCAGAAUCUACAGAGAUACAGACCUGAUCCAGGUGAGAGUCCUUAAGUCAGAGGUCGCUGGACCAAGGCAUGAGCCACCAGUGGGACCCUUGAAGUCCAUCUCCCAGGUCCUUGAUGGUGACACACACUCACCCCCCACGCCAUUUGCUGCUUGUUCUCUGUCACAUGGGGCCUUGGAGUGAUCCUCACCUUCUGCUCCCCACCCAUGUUUUCUCUUGGGUUUGGUUGACUUCCCUCGGGAGCAGGAGGCUUGUCCGACCCUGAGCCUUGCUCUGCUAGUCUGGGGUUGAGACCGCUGUGGCCGGGGUGGGAGAGGAGAGGAGGUGUAAUUAAACACUAGUUCCUUUUCCAGAAAUGCUAAUCGAGAAAAGCAAUUAAAAGCAACUUUUUUUUUUUUCCCUUAGUAAUCUGGGUUAAGAGCUGGUAAUGAAGUUUAGGGCCAUUGUGACUCAGUAUUUCAGCUUCACCGACUCAAGUCAAAACAAUCCAAGCCCAGGAGCUCACCAGCCGCUGAGUUGGGCCCGGGAAGCAGCUGUGCGUCCUGAUGUUCCCGCUUGUCACCACCCUUUGCCGUUCCCCGGGGCAGAGAGGAGCAGUUGCAGCUGGGAAAGGGGAUCUGAAUGGCAUGUAGGUGGGUCCCCGAGGUGACCCCUCAGAAGACCAGAAUCUGGAAAUGCAGCUGAGCGGAAAUGCUUAGGAGCAGGGCACGUGUGGCACCUAGUGUAAGGGCCAGAACCAGAAAGGGUGGGUCAGAUAGGGUCAGGGGAGAGGAAGUGGUCCUGGGGUGGACAGGGCUCAGCCACAUGGGCUCAGAACCAGAGGAGCUGGUGGUCCAGUCCUGACCUCCAACCUCUGCUCGUUCACCUCUGGUUUCAUUCAUUAAUCAGUUGCCAUUGAGCACCACUGCAUACCCAUGUUUUAGACACUGAAAGUGCAACAGUACAUAGAGAGGUGAGGAUUCCCACCCUCGUGGAAUUUACAUGCUGGUGGGAGGCUUUGUCUGGCAGGUCCCGUAGUCCUUCCUUUCCUCUACAAGUAACCACUGCACAAUUUCUCUUUUAAUUUCGUCGAGGGCCCUUACCUUGCCCAUCCCACCCGUUCACCUACAACCACUAAAAUCUACACCGAAGACCCCCUUUCCCAGUGACUCCACCAUUGUAAUCCCGCCUCUGUUUUGUCUUCCCUCCGGCACCAGUGGGACCAACAAUAGACCUCCUUCUCACAAGAACAGGUCCCCUUGUCGUCGACGCUCCGGGGUCUCCGUCCUCCUGUCGUCCCUCCGGUCCCACCGACCCUUCCUCACUGGACCUCUAGUUCCGACCCCGUCCCCCCACGCCAGGUGUCUAGGAUGUUCGGACCGUCCGGUUCGUGAGAACUCUAGCUGUUACCCCGAGUAAAACGAGAUGCUUUUUGAAGAGCUCUGACUGACAUGAUCUGAUUAGGCACAAGCUCUUUAUUAAAAAACAAGACCCUAUUGUCACUGUCCCCUCCUCUCAUGGUCCCCUAUGUGCAGAGUCCGCCUCCCCCCCCCCACACACACCCCUUGGAGGCACUCUAGCAACAUUUCAAUCUGGGAUGGGCCAGAGGGUGCUGGGGGGUGUAUCUGGAACUCACUCAGCCCCAGCCUCAGCCUCUUCCCUGGGAGCAGUUCACCAUCAGGGUCUUGUCACUUUAAGCAGCCCCCCGCCUGGCUUCCCUGGCCUGCUUUAUCUGAAGUCCAAGCGCAUGUUGUUUCAGGACCGAUCCGCUUUAGCUAAUUAAUAAUCUGACAGGAGCCACCCAGGGGAUUAGCCUCGGAGCUGAGCUCCACCAAGCCCCAGCAAAUGAGCCCCAUGCUCCUCAGGGACCUGGAGGUGACUUUGGGGGGGGGGUUCAGGGAGGGGGGACCCCCACAGGUGAGCCAUGGCAUGGGGCAGUAUAGGAGUGGCCAGUGAGGGAAGAGGAAGGGGAGAGAUGGGAAAGGAGCCUCCUAGAGGACUCCACUGUCCCCAGACAGGCAAGGACUCUGCUCUCCUCUGCUGCCUCUUAUGGUCUUGUCACCUGCCAGAAACUGUCCCCACCUGAGGAGCUGGGAUACCAUGGCCAGCAUUAGCAAGUAUAAUGCAGGACACGGGUGUGGCCGAGCCUCAGGUGACCUGCACCCCAUCUUCAGCACGAGUACGUUCCGUGGGCUGUUGGCGAUCGGCUCCCACUAAAGGUGUCUUCGUUGUGUAUGAGACACUCUGCUUCCACGUUUCCUCUAGCAAACCUGAGAGGAGGGCCAGAGGCUUUGGGGCUCCCUUUAGAAGAGGUGGCACUUCCUGGGGAGCCACCUGGGGCUUUUUCAAGCAGGGUGAGGCUGGGGUCCUGGUGACCUCAUUGUCACAGUACAGGGAGAGGAGGACGAGGAGGACAGAUGUCGGCCACUUGCCUGUCUUCCAACCUGUUGGGCCCAGGUGGUCCUUGGAUGCUUAGAGGCUAAGUCCCCUCUGGAACAUCUGUGGCCCCAAGCGAGGGAGCAGUGCCCCCUGGCCACCUGUCCCAGGGGAGGCUGGCAUCUAGGAAAUCCAGCCUGCGCCUAAGGGGAAGGCUUGAAGUUUCCGGGUAAUCUGGGUUGGGUGGUUGUCCACUGAGGGCAUUUGUUCUGAGCAGGGGUGGCCUCCUGUGUGGGAGGGGCCAGGCCAGGUCACAUACAAGGUCAGGGACAACAGCCUGCUAUGCAGGGCCCCUCCUUGUUCCAGGUUUCUGGGCACUGAACAGAGAUACCCGUUGCUGACCUCCCCGUGCCCACCGGCACGGCCACAGAGCAGAGUGCUGGCUUCUCAGGAAGGACACACCGUUCAGCCGGGCUGGCUGCCCAGGAUGUCACUCUAAGGGCAGGAGGGGCGGGUCUUUAUUGGAAAGCUUGAUGGGGUCCAGCCUGCUGGCUCUCGUGACCCCUGUCACCCUGGCUGUGUUCCUCGUGGUCAGGGAGCUCAGGGCAGCGAGAGAGGCCAGCUGCCAGCUGGUGGAAGUCCAGCCUCCUGCAGCCAAGGGGCCUGAUGCCAGGCGGGCACUGCCCUGAGGUGGGAGCGCGCGGGCCCCGGCUCUGUGCUCUAGGAGUUAACAGCAUCUGCGCCCGGGGAGGCCCCCUCUCCCCGCUGGGCCGCCUCCUCCAGCCUUUCCCGGCACAGCCAGCCAGGGAGUCUGUGGUGCGAGCAGUCGGGGCCGGGGGUGCCGAGCUGGUGGGAACCUCUUCCGCUUCCUGAGCUCUCAGCCUCUUCCCCAGCGUGCCCGGUGGUUUGGCCCUGGUUCUCGAGCCGUCUGCUGCCCGUGCUGCCUCUGACCGACAUCGUUAGCGUGGGUAUUUAUAUUUCAUUAACGACAUUAAGCCCAAAUGGCAUUAAAAGCAAAGCUGGUGAUAAAUAGCUUAUUAAUAAACAGGGAGUGCUCCGUGCUGCCUGGCCUAUCCCAGCCCCAGCGUUAACCCUUGCUGCCCUAGAUAAAUAUGCUUCACCCCAAAGACCAGCCCCCAAAAGAUGGGGCCGGAAGGGCCUGUCACCUGCCCGUCCUCUACCGGAUACUCUCAGGUCCACGCACAUUGGAUCCCGAGUGGGCUAGUUCUGGGUCACUGCAGCUCAUGCGACCUGGCCAGAUCCCUCACGGCCUCUAAUCAAAUCCCCCUCACCCCAUCCUCACUAAUUUUGAUUCUGGGGAUGAAGAAUUUAGGAAAUCUGGCUUUUGUAGGCUGCAAGCUCAGGUCUUCUCCAUUUCCUUGAAGUUCUGUCUACAAGGACUUUGGAAUCAAAGACAGUGAUGCUGCCGGGUGCGGUGGCGGGCACCUGCAGUCCCAGCAGCUCCAGAGGCUGAGGCAGGAGGAUGGAGAGUUCAAAGCCAGCCUCAGCAACUCACGAAGACCUAAGGAACUCAGUGCGAUUCUGUCUCUAAUAAAAUACAAAAAAGGGCUGGGGAUGUGGCUCAGUGGUUAAACGCCCCUGGGUUCAAUCCCUGGUACCAGAAAAAAAAAAAAAAAGAGUGAUGCAUAUGAAAAUAAUAGCAGUGACACAGUGACAAGCACAGCUAACAUUUUCGGGGUGCUAACUGUGAGCAGGCCUUUCACUGAGCACAGGCCCCCAUCCUCACAGCCACCCCAGGGAGUCCCACUGAGCCUCACUGUAUAAGUGGCAAGGCACUUCCUGGAAGAGCGAAGCAGUUCUACCUACUGAAGCCCAGGUCACACAGAGGCUAGGCCCUGGUCAUGGUGCAGGACUUGGUACGGGGGGCCGUCCCUGGCUCCUGGGCCUCGGACCUGCCGAGGCUAUCCAGGGCUGUGGCUCCAGGCCUUGACUCUGCCUCUGUUGAGCCCCCUGCCCACCAGGACUCAGGUGUUCUGUUAGGCGAUGUCACUGGCCAGGUGAGCCCGCCUGCAUGCAGGCUGUCUGUCUGGAGGCCACAGACAUGCAUCACAGAGUCCAUCACCUCCUCUAGAACUCAGAAGUGCCAACAGGGAUGUCCGCGGUGACCCCAGUGAACAGAGUCCCGCAGGCCUGGGUUGUUUGGGGUUUCGGUCAGUGUUUUGUGGCUGUCAUCUCUUGAUGCUUGGAAGAAUUAGGGGCAGACUCGGUCCUCCCUUGCCCCGUCUCCCUGGCUGAAUCACUGAAGGUAAGAGGAGAAACCGGAGCCUCACUUAGAACAUCUCACCUUGACCAACCUGAGCAAGAAUUCUUGUCCCAUGCCCUGUCUCUUUGGAACUGUCUGGGCCACACCGGGUUGAAGGGGGCCAGGGACUCCCCGGGAGUUUUGCGGUGUAGAAAGGAAAGAGGAGGGAGAGUCGAAAGUGACGCUGCCGUGGGGUCCCAAGCAAGAGGGUGGGGCAGAGGGCUCAUCGCCGCGGCCUCUGCUUCUGCCCAGUGACGCAAACUUCCCACUCGCAGGAGAGUGCCGGGACUCCUGCUGCCUCAGCCGGGGGCCAGGCCUCUUCUCCCAGCCCAUCCCAAAGCUGGGAAGGAAGUAGGAAAGCAGCCACCAUCAGGAUCCUGGUCAGAAAGUUCCCUUCUCACCUGGGUGGCUGGACCUGACCCUCACACCCCACCCCCGCCGAGGAGAAUGACGCAGGAACCAGCAAGGCCCCGGCUGACCGCUAGGUGCUGUCAGGGCUGCCCCUAAGGCCAAAAGACCCGGCCACUUGCUCUGGCCAUGCAGGCCUUUAUGGUAACGGCAGGGCACAGUGUAUGGCAGAAUCACAGUUGUCACCGACAUUGUACUUAAAGUGCACUAGGUCUCUAGGCCUGUCCCUCCCGUAGCUAGCUGGUGGUCAGGAGGGAGAACCAACUGGGAGGAAGAUGGGAGAGAUGGGCUUUGAGACAGGCCACCCGAGUCGCUGUUUUGUAGAACUGUGGCCGUCCCUUCGCCAUGCUCGGCUCCACUGUCCUCUGUGACAUGAUUGUGCCUUCUCUGCAGGGAUGCAGUCUCUAAAAUGCCUGUGAUGGCCUUGGACCUGCGAGGCGCUGGGCGAGGGCUGGUGCCCGUAUUCCUGCUCUUACCUUGUUGUCGCUGAUAUUCUGUCUGAGAAACAGGGGAGGAAGUGGGUGAAGACUCACAUACACAGCAGGGCGUGGCCUGCCGCUCCCUCUGGGGACUGACGGCAGCACUGGUAGGGAUAAGUCCAUCCAUCCAGUCGUCCACUCAUCGUUUCUAGGACAUCUCCUCUGCUAGGCUCAGGAGGAGUGAGGACAGGGUGAGUCUAAGGGGAACGCAGCGGGGCUCCCAGCCAGGGCUCCUGGGGAAGGGCAGCCAGCUGUGGGUGUGGCCACUCUGGUUUCAGGCAGCUGCAGGGACCAAGGGAGAAGAGCUGGCAUCUCAGCAUGUGGCCCUGCUGCAUGGUGGGGCAGGUCCUUCCCCUCCCGUGCCGUGCCCACUGAUAGUGGGCUGGCUGUUGGCAGGCAUAAGCCACCUUGUUGUCCCUCUGCUAUGCGAAGCCCAGAACCUGGGCAGGGCUUCUGCUUGUCUGCCUGCCAGGUGUUGGAGUGCUGUGCUCCAGGCCCUUCCCUGGCCACCCGGCUGACAUGCCGUUCCUCUGGCCUUGGUGGAACAUGAGUGGCACGGUUUGGCCCAGGCUCGAGGGGGCACUUAGCAAGAGCCUCCGCCUGAGGAAUGAGGUUGGUCCCCUAGGUUGCAUCAAUUUCUGAGGGAUGGGGAUGUGCAGACCCCUCCCCUCUGCAGACCCCUCUUUCCCAAGGCAGCUUCCCUUCUUCUUCCCCUCCACCCUCUAAGGUGUCCUGUGUUCUCCAAGGGCCAAGGCUCAACAGGGGCCGGGGUGGGACGGCCAGUGGCUCCUGUGCAGAAGGUCUGUGUGGGCUUACCUUGCUUUAGUGGAACGUCACAGCAGACUGGGUGGCCUCCCUUAUGUGCCACUUGUCACUCUAAGGAUUCUGAGUGUCCACUCCUGCUUGAAAGGGACCACACGGGAAGAAGCUAUGAAGUCAUCUGUUUUGCCUCACGUGACCUAAGGAAAGGGGCUGGGGGUACAAUGGGUGACAGCUCCGGGGACUGGGAGAUGGUGGGUAUGGGCAGAUGGCUCAGUGUGCCCAGGAGCGGGGCCUGUGACCUCCUGGGCAAACCUUCAAGGGGGUCAAAGGCCGCUCCAUAUCCAGAGCGCUUUCUCUGCCUCGUUCCUGGGCCCAGUGGUGCCCUGACAGGAGGCCAGCCUCCCUGGGCUGGGCCGUGGGCAGGGAGGCCCUAGGAGAGGCCUGGGCCCAGAGCUGGCCCUCAGUCGGGCUUAGGGUGCCCUCUUGGCUCUGGGCAGUGCGGGCCUGUGGAGUGCCAGGCAGGGUGGCCACCACAAGGAGCCAGGAGGGGGAUGGCAGAAGGGGUCAUGCGUGUUCUGUCCUCUGGGAGCUUCUCCUACUUUCAUUUUCUUUUUGCCACUGUUUUUUUUUUUUUUUCCUUGGGGUCUAAUUAAAGACUUGGAGCCGUUUACAGCCUGUGGUUGGCUUUUUAUUUGGAGCCUUGGCAAUUACCUCCUGCCCUAAAAUAAGUUUCGAUGGAGCAGGGGUAGGCUUUUUCUUUCGGCCAAGUUCUCAGCUUUAAUUUUGCCGUGUGUGCGUGUGCGUGUGCGUGUGCACGUGUGUUCCUUCAUGCUCGAGUGUGUGAUGGGGUAACAUGACGCCUGCCCCUCCUCCCCUUUCCAAAUCCUUGUCACUUGCCCCAUCUCAAGUGUCCCUUGGCCAAGGCAGAGACCUGGACAGUGGGAACAGUAUGUCCUCAGCCUCACCCUGCCUGGAGGCACCUCGGUGACAACAGGCAGGUCAUCUGUUGACUCUGUCCCAGUUUCUUCACCUGCAAAUGGGGCCAGCGGGCUGGGCAUGACAGAGGCUUUGGUCCACACCACUUUGGAAACAGACCUCUUGAGUGGGGGAAGCCACUGCCGGCAGCACCAGCACCCCGGGCCUCGUUUGCCUCUUAAUCAACACCCUUUGAGUUUGAUAGGAACCUGUUGUCGUGUCCCCAUUUUAUCCCUCUCUGUUCCCCUGGCCACUGUGUGAGCAGAUGUGAUCACCCCAAGUUUAUUGCUGAGCCCUAAGGCCAGGGAUAAUUAGUGGCUUUUCUGAAAUCACUUUGCUUAAAAGAGACAGAGUCUUGAGAUUCAAACUCAGGUCCUAUGAUCUUCCAAAACCCAAACCCAAGACUUUGUGGGGCUCAGUGUAAAAUGAAAACGUGGAGCCCCUUGUCCUGAAAUAAGAAUUCUAGGACCCCAAGAACAGGACAUUAGACUGAGUGGGUGCCCUUCUGAGCACCUGUGUGGCUGCAGGGGUUGCAUGCCCAAGAAGCUAGCCCUGCCUGACGCCCUCUUGAGUCUCCUCCUAUCUGCUCUGUCGUACCCAUGAGGUGAUGGCAGGGAAGUCACAUAGGCCAGUGGUGCCCCCCUGGCUGCUGUGACCACCCCUUCAGGGGGGCUGGAAUCUGGGUUCUCCCAGCUCCUGAACUUUUCCAUGAGCCCUGUACAGGAUCUCUGGGUUCCCUGAGUCUCCUGGGGUCCUUCUCAGUUAGAGGUGAGGAACUGAAAAGUGGGUUCAAUAAGAACUCUUUUUCCUUGGGGUAGAGGUUGAAGUUUUGAGGACUUGGUCCUCCGAGUCCCAUUGAGGAGCUCAAUGAGAUUCUUUCUGUCAACCCAAAGCAAGUGGUGACCUGCCAAAAAUGUACAGGUCAACCUAGGCUCCAGUUGUUCCGCUUUGGGUAGAAGGUUAGCCAGCCCAUUCCUUGGGCAGAUCUGGAAACUUCCUAGCUGGUUGCUGGGGACUGGGAUUGCCAUGGAAACUUAUGGGUGGAUGGAUGGAUGGAUGGAUGGAUGGAUGGAGCACAUAGCUGGGUGUGAGCCCAUGCGAGUGCCCAUGUGCAUGCACACGCGUGCCACAGAGGACAGCUGUCAGGAUGAUUGGCUUUUACUGAAUUUCCCAGAUGGAGCGGCCUUUGCCUACCCGUCCAGUGUGCUCCUGCCCGUGGCCCCCUUUCUGUCUUCUGCUAAUGCCCCCUCAAAGAUGUCUGAGUGCCAAAGUCCUCGCUGCAAGAGCCCAUCUGGACUCUCUCCCAGGUGCCCCUGCUUCCCAGAAGCCUUCUAAAUUCUGGACCUUGGGUGUACUUAGGGUGAACCGUGUCCUGAAAACCAUGGUAGCCAUUUUUAUGGUGGGGGGACAACUUUGUGUAAAAUGGGGGCCAGGUGGGGGUGGGAGUCCCCCAGGCGCGAGGCCUGAGGCAGUUGGAGUAUAGGAGGGCGAGGUGCCCGAGUUUCCAAGGACUGAUUAGAUGGUAUGCCAAGUGUAUUAAAUUUUGCAGACAUUUUAACAGCAAUAUGCUAGAUAGUUGGGUGUCCCCUGAGGCGGCUGGAUUUUUUAUAUCCUUCACAGAAGGUCAGAACCCUCUUCUGCCUGCCUCCCCCUCCAUCCCAUGCUCUCUGCUCCACGGCUCACCCUCCCCUUUCUCAACAAUUUCCCUGGCUUCUCACUCUCUGCUCAUCAGGAACCUAAAAGACAUCUCUGGUCCCUGCCAGAAAGAGGGAGCACCGGUCCCUCCCGCCUCGCCAUUGGGCUGGUGUCAGGGGUCUCCAAGGCUGGGGAGGGCUCACGCUGGAAGCUUGAUUUCUGUUCUCUCUGCCCUGCACCCCUCCCCCCACUUUGGAGACUGUUCCUCCUUAUUUUUAUAGAAAAAAGGCAGGAAAAGCAUCCAUCUGGCAUAUGAAUAAUUGAAAUGGCUCAACCCUGUUCCUGUGGCUGCUGUUUGUUCUCAGCCCCCCCCCCCCCCCCCCCGGCCCGGCCCAUCCCCGUGAGCAUGGGUCUCUGAGCGGAGGCUGCGUGCGUGGGCAUUCUUCGAAGGGUCUCCGGUGAGGCCCAAGGCUCUCCUUAACCUUGAGUCCUUUCUCCCUGGGAACCAACAGGGCUGAGUGGGGGACAUUUGGAGAUGUGGUUUCCUUUUCACUGUCCAUGGGGAUAGCCAGCCCCUGGCUAGAGUCUCCCAAAUAUCACUGCAACUCAACCGGUUCCCUUGGCUCCCCGGUCUCAAGGGCCAGCUUCCGUCACCCUGGGCUCUCCCAGAGCCUCCCGGGAACCUCUGAUGUAUUAAAUUUUGCAGACAUUUUAACAGCAAUAUGCUAGAUAGCAAUAUGCCCAGCCUCCUCUUAUCCCCCAGCCUCUGCGCCCCGUCCUGAGGGCUCUGGUGACCUCCCAAAGCUUCAGGGGCUCUGGGGACUCCUCUUUGGGGAAACUGGCUCUGGCAGUGCUGUCCCAGACUUCUGAUCAGGCCUCUUGCCCAGAGGCCUCUGAGACACCCCGUCCCGUCCUCUGCCACCCCUAGUGUGCCCAGCUGAGGCUGCCCUGGCUGGAGGUGUGCCCUUCUCUGCGUCUUCAUUUAGCCUUUGGGUUGGGAGCCGUGAGAGAGGAGAUCCGCAACUUUGCUUUCUGGGAGGCAGCACGCGGCGGUGGGAGGGCGGGGCAGAGGCAGGCUGGCCGAGCUCAGGGCCUGGCCCGUCACUCCACCGGGCUGGGCCCAGCUGCACACCAGGCCCCGUGUCCCGGCCCAGAAUUCACUGUCUCUUUAAAACCCUUUAGAGGAAAACCAAAAGAAGUUUAGUGCAUUGAUUCUAGAUGAAGAUGGGCCUCCAGAUGAUAGCCUGACCCUCCUGGCUCCCUGCGAGAGCCCACUUCCCUCUCCUCCUCCCCCUCCCACCCUCCUGCCCCUCUGCCCGCCCUGCCUCUCCAUUCCCAUCCCUUGUUCUUGCUCUGUGAGAGGCUGACGUCAGGGUUGCAUGGAGUGUGGGCUUUCUGUUUGAAAAGUCAAUACUUCUGUUUGUCUGUUUGGGACAUCAUGUUUGUGUCAUGUGUGAAUAUUGACUUGCAGCCGUGGGCCCUGUGGUUAUUAAGUGCUGGGAGCCAGUGUGCAUUUCGGGACCACCGAGCGGCUGUGGUGGGGUGGGGCUGGCACGGGCAUCACCACAAAGUGGUGAGAGGCCUCAGAAGACGCCCCCAUAGGAAGAGGGUGCGAGCAACACCAGAACAUUCUAGAUCUUUUCUGGGUUCAUUUACAAAACUGCCCAGUCAGCAAAAAAUAAUUCGGAUGAAAUUCAAAUCAGGUUUGUUAAUAUAUAACCAUAAAUAUAUAAAUAUAUAAUAAAUAUAAAAGUCGUUUGUAAAGACUCCUACACAUGUUAUAAAAGCUGCAAAAUGUCUGACAUUCCAGGGCCUGGUACGAAUAAUUAGAUAUUUAUGUCCAAUAAAACUGGUUUGAUGGGGAAAUCGUUUCCCUGUGUGGAUUCUCAGUUGAGGACGAGUUUCGGUGGUUGGGUUUGUUUUUUUCCUGACAAUAAAACCAGGGGUUUGGCACCAACAAAUGUAUUUCCCGUAAAUAUCUAAAUCUCCGUUUUCCAGCGUGAGCUCUGCUGGACGGGCCCCGUCACGCCCGCCACUCUCCUCGCUGGCCUUUUCAUUGUCCCUGGAGAACAGUGUGCACGGCCCCUCCUCCCUGCACCCCGGGCCUGAGCUGUAGCCAGGACCACUCUGCCCCCCGCGCCCCUCCGCACCUAGACUGCUGCUGUGGGCUCUUCACUCUGCUCUUUUGGGGGAUCAGUUUUUUAGCCUGGGGCUUCUGCUCUCCUGCGCCCUGGAAGCCCAAUCUAAGCCCCUCCUACCCCCCCACUACCAUUUUUAAUUCCCGUCUUCACCUCCUGCUUUAGACCCUGCUCUCCCUUCUCUCGGGAGCUCUGUUUGACCCCCUGGCCCAUAGCCUUCAGGGCCUCUACCACGUGCCUGGAGGCCCUGGGGAGGCAGUUUGCCUUACUGCCCUGGCUUGGGGAGAUCGCCCAGCCCCACCCUUGUUUUUCUUCCAUCUGUUCCACAGCCGUGAACAGAUGGAGCCAGGAGCCAGAAGGUGCUGUCGAUGACUGUGACCUCUCUCUCCCAUUAUACGGAUGUGGAGCUGAGGCCCCAAGUCGGGCAGAUGGCUUGGGGUGAGGGGCUGGCUUAAGAGUCCUAAGUGGGACAGACAGAGCUGGGCCAGAAGUACAGCCCCUGGCUUGACCUCCCUCUGGUUCUGGGCGUGCGGAAGGGGAGCACACCUACUCCACAGGGACCCCUGGGGCAAGUGGCCUCCCUCUCUGAGCCUUGCAUUUCGGACCAGUGACGAGGAAUCAGUGCUCACUCCGCUGUAAGGCCACCCAGAGGAGCGACUCAAUGAAGUGUCUACGAGUCGCACCUUGGGUUCUGGGCCGACGGGUCCGUUCCCCAGGAAGAAGGGAGUCAGGUUCACCCAAUGGCCCAAGCCCGGACCUGCAUGUCACCGGGUUGCUUGACACUGGGGUGAGGGCCUGUCUACGGGGCUCCCCCUGGGUGGUGGGAUUGCUUUUGCCUGUCUCCCAGCAUGGCUGGGACGUUCUGGCUGGGUUCAGGGUGCCUUAGAGCUUCCCAGGGGUCUGCUGUGACUUAACUUCAGCCAGGAAGGAAAAGCCACUGGUGGAGGAGCAGCACCCGGGUGCUGGGGUCUUCAGGGUUCCUCAGGAACGCACCCCAGAGGCAGGGCCAGAGAAGCCGCAAGGGUGCACUGCAGCGCCUUCGCCAAGACCCAGCCCAGCUCUGUCUGGGACAUUUGGCCCAAACUGUAACCUGGGCCCUACGGAGGCUGGUGGCCCCGAUGUUCUGACAGACAUCUUUCAGAUCAAAGAAAAGGAGUCUCCUGGCAGCCAGCACGCCCAGGAGGAGGGGAGAGGGCUGGCAUCCUCCCGAGCCCCCUUCCAGACGUCCGGGAUGGCCCUCGGAGCCGCGAAUUAAUAUCUCGACACUCAUCACUGUCAUCUGUCGGGACCCAUGGCGACCCCGACGACUCGCCACCGUGACGGUGUACGGUGCUCGGGUGUGAGAAGGAGGCGAGAUUAGCUCCUGCUCCUUGCUGAGGACCCUGCGUGUUCGUGCUGGGCGUGGCCAGCAGCCCAGGCCCCCACCCCCCCAGGAUAACCCUUAAGUGACACACAGUGGCAUGCCAGCUUCACCUGUACCCGUCCCCGGAGCGGAGAGGCCCAGAGCACACGGGACCACCCUCCAGGGGUGGCUCUCUUAGGCCAGUAAGUUUCAAGACACACUAUUGCCCAGGGGACGGGACCCUGGCCUGGAAUUCAAAGCCGCCCUCCAAAAGACACCUGGGUGGCUUGUUUUUCAAUGUUGUCUUUUUUCUUCCUCCUUUUCCCCAACCCUCGCAAAACUAAAAAAAAAAAACUUGGAGAAGCAGAGCCCAAGCUGCCUGUGACUGGCUCACAGAGAAGCCAGUCAAACCUCCCCUUGUUGAGAACAUUUUGACAGCAUAAAAUUGUUGCCGGAAUGUGACUUUAACGAAAAGUAAAAAAAAAAAAAAAAGAAAAAAAGAAAAAAAAAUCCUUCCUUCAUGCAUAUGGAGUUUUUUGGAAAAAAAAAUGGUAUUUUAAUGCUUUCUAUUAAAUUGGGACUAAAAGUGGUGUCUUAAUUUGCAUGCAUUAGCAUAUUUGCAUAUAGAUCACUGAAAUGGUGGAAGAGAGAAGAGCCUUUAAAUGAAAAUUCUUUUAAAGGCACAGGCCCGCUUCCCUCCCCACCUCCCUCUGGGAUUUAUGCUUGAUCUUUUCCUCUCACCUCCAACCCCACCUUUAUGUCUUGAUUAAGCUGUGAAUGGACAGGAGAGUCAAGGCUCUACUUCUUAGGAGCCAAUUCGGGGUGGAGUCAAGGGGCCAGAAAGUCCUGGCCCUUGAUCACCCCCUGGCAGAGCUCUGAGCUGGCCUGUCCUGGCAGUGAGUGGCUCUGGAGGACGGGCCUAUGUCCACGCCGACAGGCAGGUGGCCUGGACCCCCGGGCCUCUUCCAGCCAUUAUCCUGCCCUCUUUCUGGCUCUUCCCCUCCCACCCCCGCCCCCCGGGCCAGGUUGGUUCUAUAGAAGCCCACUGUGGGCACCUGUCCUGCCAGCCCCUGGCCCCAGAGGAGGGGAUGCUCUUCUUCCUCUGGUGUAACCCAUCUCCAUCCUCCGUUACUCUCUGCCACUGUCCUUGUUUCACUGUCUGCAGAGAACUCACUAGUUGUUUGUUUACUUGAUGAUUUGUCUCUUCCCGCCAACACCACCCUUGCCAAGGACAAACUCCACAGAAGCACAGCCCGGUGGCCGACUCAUUCAUAGCUAGACCCAUGGUGCUACUGACAACGCCCAGCGCAUUAUGGGUAUUCAGUAACUGUUCAUUGAAUGAGUGAAAGGGGGCUGGGACUCCUGCCAGGCUGAGCCUUUCCCAGUGCCAUGGUCUCAUGGUACACAGUGCCACACCCCAGCCCCCUUUAGAUGUCUUCAGCCUUGCUGGAGGAGCAGGAUUUGGGAAUUGUCCAGGGCCUUCCAGUCUGAUCCCAGGCCCUCAAAGAAUGCUUUAGCCCACCCUUGUUCCUUUGGAUGGCAGGCUGGAUGGAGUGGGGACCUGGCCUUAGGGAGCAAUCGGGCAGGGUGGCCUAUAGGAAAUGUUCAGCAUGGGGGAAAGAGCUGGGGCUGAUGAAGCUAGGGUCACCUUAUGCCAACACAAGGGCCUCCAACCCUGUAGCCAUAUAGAUCUUUAUUUGGCACCCUUCCUCCCAGAAACUUCAGGGUGCACCAUCAAUGCCCUGGUUUCUGUACCCCAGUUGUGCUGCUGGCUGUCCCUAGUCUAGGUGAAAGAGUCCUGGGAAACCCCACCAUGCUCUCUGCAUUCCAGAGGGACAGCCCGGGAAGUGAGGUCUAGCCACUGAGCCCUGAGCCAUCCCUCCCUUCCCUACUCGGGUGGGCUGGGCUUUCCAAAAGGCCCCUCCAGGCUGACAGCAGCCUCGGGCUCCAUGCCCAGCCUGAAGGGGGAGGGCCGAGAAGGGUGAGGGGGACGCCCAGGGUUGGAGCGGGACUGUGCCUCCACCGCUAAUGAAAAUCGGAAACCAAUUGAGCAGGACAAGGUGCCCCGCCAGCAGGUUGUGGGAACAAGGGUCCUAAUGGAUGUGGCUGGUGGGGGGAGCGGAUGCCUCAUUGAUCGCCCAGUGGCUAUAUUUAUCCACCUUGGGUCUGUGGCCCUAGCAGCUGGAUGGUACAGGGAUAAAUAAAUGGCCACUGAAAUAUUCAUGAGCUGCACAUGCACAUCCGUGGUCAGGGGUGCCGCCAGGGCCUGCUCUUCCUUCCUUCGCCCAUCUCUCUGCAGAAGCCUUUCAGGAAAUUCCUCCCACCUGGGCCAGGUGACGCGUGGCCCAGCCCCACUGGGCACCCAGCCCAGCCACAGCCCUGGGAGCACCUGCAGGCCUGGGCACCUUCUAUCCUGGGCCAGCUGACUGUUUUCAGACUGGUCCCUGCCUUGCCUUUGUCCCCUCCAUUGCCCCUGUGUCCCUGUCCCUUAAUGAUGGAUUAGACACGUGGGGCCGUGGCUAUUUGCUUGACCCUGUAUGCCCUGCUAGACCAUGUCCUACUCCUGAAGGACAAGCUUGUGGCUCAUUUGUCCCUGGAUUUCCCCCGUGGCCUGGCACGGUGCCUGAUGUGUCCUUGAGAGGAGCAUCAUCUGAGUGAGGCUCAGAGGUGGGCUUGCGUCUCAGGUCUGUCCUCUCAGGUCUUCUCCUUGCUGAACUCACUGUCCUCAUCGGCAAAAUGGGUUUAGGAACAGUGCUGGGGUGUCAUUGAGUGUGGGCUUGGGGCUCCCCAAAUCAGAAGCCCUAGCAGGUUAAGGACACCGUUCUGGGGCCAUCCAUACUGCUGAAUGAGACUCUCCAAAGGAGGGACUGAAGGCUUAGUGAGCUUGUUGGUUUGCUGCUCACUGAGAUGUAGAAGUCCUGGCUUUGACCUUCCAAUGUCUUAGUCCAGGUAGCAUAUGGCUACCAGGUCUGCUCUGAGUUGUUCAGCCCCUGGGAAACAGGGCCAGGAGGUCAAGGGAGAGAGGAUGAUUCUAGAGGGUCUGGAAGCCAGGCUUCUGGUAAAGCUGCCUGGUGUGGAGUAGAGCUGCCAGAGACUGAGCAGAUGGGCCAGUAGUGCUCUGUGGUAGGGUCUAGAAAUGCGGCCGGGGCUGCCCAUGGGCAACAGGUGGGUGGGGCCAGGGCAGGGACCUGUGGGCAUCCUCCAUGAUCUGGAGGUCUGUUGUGGGCAGUGCCCAAGAGGGUGCAGAUGUGGUGCUCUCUGGGGUUUCAUCUGCCUUUAACCUCGCAGCUCCUCCCCGGUGGAAGGAAGGGAAGAGCUCGGCCCCUGGGCAGGAGUGAGCAGUGUCAAGAGCUAUGGGUGCUUGCUCAGGGCUGGCUGGACAGCACACUCUCCAACCAGAUUGCCUGUGGCACCACAACCACAAGCUGCUGCCUCUGGGUACCCUGGGUACCGCAGCUCACGCUGCCCCUUUGGUGUACUGCUGACCUGUUGGUGGCAUGGGCCCGUCCCCUGGUAGGCAGAUGCCCAUGACUGGAAACCAUUUGACCCUGUUUAACCGAGGGGACUGAGGGUUCAGCUGACCAUCUGUGGUGGGUCUCUGAGGGCUCCGGGCACAGAGACCAGGAGAGUCGCAGGGGAUGGGUGAGGGCAGAGCUCGCAUCGGCAGCUCAGCCAGGAGGAGCCAGCCGUCCCUCCUCCCUGCCAGCCCACCUCCUCCCCCAGCCAAAGUUUGAUCCAAACAGAAGCAAACUUUGGGGACAGCCCUGGCUCUGCGUGGAGCCUGCGGAGCCUGCGAGUGGCAGCGAGAGCAGAGGGAGGCAGCCCCGGCAGCCUUGGCGCCUGACUCCACGGUCCUCUGUCCCCUCCCAGAGCUCCCGGUCCGCGCCCGCGUUUGCAGGCGCCUCUCUCGUCAGCUCAGAAUGCAGCUUGGGGCCCGUGGCGGCUCAACCUUUCCCUCUCCCAGAGCCCCGGUCUAAUCAACCCCUAUAAUUUAUGCAGAAAAUAUGAUUUAUAUUUAAUUUCACCACACUUGCAUUGUUAAUUUGAGAUGUAAUUAACCCGUCGCCAUGACAACUAAUUUUGUGAUGCCGUAAAUUACCGCCGUCUUUUCAUCAAAAUUCAGUUACUUUGGCUCCUGUGUGCAAUGUACUGAUGCAAUUAGGUUGCUAAGGGCAACUCAAAAGUGUUCAAUUUCUUUUGUGCAACUGCAAUGGGGUAGAAGCUCCCUUGCGUCCUCCCAGGGUCCCCCUGGCCAUGGGGCGGGGAGCCCAGGGUCCGAGGCUGCCCUAGAGGAAUGCUGCUGGAGAGCCGGGCUGGGUGGGCGCCCGUGGCCUCUGCUUCUCUGCCUCCCACCCUCUUUUCUCCAGUAAUUGUUUUUAAGCAGUGGCCCCUGGACGCAUGCUCCCUGUGCCCCCCACAGGACCUCAGGGCAGCCAAGGGGCUCUCCCCUCGCCGGCUUAGGCGCUGCCUUGCCUGGUCCUGUCCCACGUUUUGGUGCUGCGCUUAGCAAGAAGAGCACCUUGCUUUCUUCCUGUUGGUGUCUAACUUGUUUAUAUAGAUCUUCCUUCUCCCUCUCUCUGUUUCUCUCUCUCUCUCUCUUUUUUUUCUUUAUUUAAAACAAAAACCCUCUGUGUUGCUUUUGUCACGUUAAUUCCCAUUUUGCCAACACCAGGGGCCCAGGCAGACGAGUUACCAAGGAACACAAAAUUUUAAUUAGUGUAUUUUAAUCAUUCAGGCUUUCCCAGCUAAUCCACAUGCCCUAGAGAAUUCCCGAGAUGCAGCUCUGCUCUGCUUUACCAUUUAUUGUUGAGUCUAUUAUAAUUACUGUUAGCAGGUGGGGACUGGGAGAUGUUUAUUAUGAGUUUUUCAUCUUUAGUAUAAUUACCGAAAAAAACAAAAUAAAAAGAUGUCGUUGUAUUUUGUUUCCUAGAAUUUUUUUUUUUUCCAGUGGAGGGCAUGGCCGUGGGAUAUUUUUUCCCUGCCUCUUCCCAGGCAGGUGACUUGGAAUUUCAGCGCAGGAAGAAACACUCCUCAGGAUCAGGGCUGAGUGCUGCCCAGCACUCCACAGGCCCAGGAAGGUGGGCGGCUGCCACCUCUGCUUGUCAUCUGCUCAGACAGGCCCUGGGGCUGCCCCCUCCCACCGGUGUGGGGUGGCUGUGCAUCGAUGGGGGCUGAGGCGGAUAGGCCAGCUCCCAGUGUUCCUGCCUCAGCCUGGUGGCUUUGCCUGGUACGGGUCAGUCUGGGGGUCAGCCAGCGUGGACCUGUUGGAGAUCAGAACAGCACCUGUGUGACUUUAAAUGUAACUGUCGGCGUUUAUUCAGUGCUUAGUAUGUGCCAAGACCCGUGUCACGGUCUUUAGCUGCAUAAUUUCACUUAAUCCCUCAGCAGCCCUCUGAGGCAGAUACCAAUAUCAACUCUGAUUUAUAGAGCAGGAGCCAGGCUCGGGAUCACAGAGCUGAGAAGUAGCAGCAAAGGAUUCAAACCCAAGUCUGUCCCCAGAGCCCAGGUUCACGCCAACUAUACCACAUUGGCUCUUCUGAGUAGGUCUUCCAGGUCACACCAGAGAUGCGGCCUUCUCCGAAAAGCCUUCCAGGAUUGCCUGAGACUGAGUUAGGGCUCUUUAUGUCACUACAGCCUCACAGUCUCAGUGCCUGUCCCUCUGAGUUGUAGUUGCCCGGUGACUUCUUUACUGGCCUCUGAUAAUAGGGAGCAUUGAGGGUAGAGGGCUUUCUGCCAUUGUCCCUGAUGUAGCAUAUAAUGUCCCUGGCACAAAGGCAGCUCAGGAAGUUUGUGGGGCAGGUGGGCACGCUGGUUCCUGAUGGUACUGCACUAUAACCUCUGCUCGGCAGGUCACGUGUCAGGAUGCAGACAUCCCUCAAAGACACUUCUCUCGGCAGAAGCCACAGGUCUGUGGUCCUGGGUUUCCAAUUCCUGCAGGAAGGGGUACCCCGGGGUUCUAGGCCAAGUUUGGAUCCUGUCCUGGGAACUCUGGGUGUGAAAUGGGAACUCAGCUUUGGCUUCCGUUUGGCCCCCCAUGUUGGUGGUGUCCCUGGGCUUACUUUUCUUUCUCCUCUCUAAGAUUGGUUUACAGAUGUUUUCCCCAAGCCGUGAUGCUUUUGAAGUUUUCCUGGAAAAUUCCACAUCUCUGCCCUAGAGCUCGGCUAGGGGGCCGAGGGCCGUUGGUUUCCCCAGGCAGCGUGGAGCGGAAUGCUGGAGCUGCAGCCUGCCGGUGCUCCUCUCCAGCCUGGUUUCCCCCAGGGACAGUGGGAGAAGAUAAUUAGCACGUCCCUGGGAAGGGGCCCAGGGCAGGCUGCGAACUGCACACUGAUGGCAGGACUCCCUGUUCAGUGCCACAUUCUUGGGCACCCCCUUUGCCAGCUCCUCUUUAUAUUCUGAUGGAGCAGUGUGACUCACCUGCACCCCAAGCAGCUGCCCUCCCAUGGGGGUCCAGACCCUGCUCAAGUCCAAGGGCGGAGAUGGCCACUUCCCCCAGUGGUUGUUCUAAUACUUGCUGGGAGCAUCUGGCAUCGGGCCCUGCCCAAGCCUCUGCACUCCCCAGGCACAUGAUCCUACUGAGGCUGAACAUGUCUAAUGUGAAAAUACAAAAUUCCAAAUGCUCCAAAAUUUGAAACUUUUUGAGCACCAACAAAACACCACAACUGGAAUUCCACAUCUGGCCUUAUGUGACUGGUCACAGUGCAAAUGAAGAUGCACUAAAAUUAUAUAAAAUUACUUUCUGGCUGUGUGUAGGAGGUACCCAUGAAACAUGAAUGAAUUUGGUGUUCGGAUUUGGGUCGCAUCCUGAGAUACCUCAUAUGUCUGUGCAAAUAUUCCCAAAUCCCCAAAAAUUGGAAAUCAGAAAUGCUUCGGAUCCCAAGCAUUUUUUUAAAAAAAUUUUUUAGUUGUUGAUAGACCUUUAUUUUAUUUAUUUAUACAUGGUGCUGAGAAUCGAACCCAGUGCCUCACAUGUGCCAUGCUAAUGUCCUACGGCUGAGCCCCAGCCCCAGCCCCAGCCCCAGCUCUGGAUCCCAGGCAUUUUGGAUAAGGAAUACUAACCCUGCAUCAGUCACGUAGGAUAUGAAGUGGGGCCAGCGAUUUGUCCCUGAGGCGCCUCAUCCCACAUCCCCUACAUAGAUUUUCUGCUCCUACUGCUCUAAGAGAGUAGUUCUUGAAUUUGUUGGUCUUAGGACCCUGUUAUAUUCCUAAAAUAUAUUGAGGACCCCAUUUUGGUUCAUGGGAAUUUUAUUUUCCAAUAUUUAUCAGGUUAGAAAUUAAAACCAAGACAUUGUUAAAAAAACAUUUAUUAAUUCAUUUUUAAUAAUAUUAUUAAACUAUAACAAAUCCAUUACUAUGCGGAAUAUAUUUUUGUAACUGUCUUCCAGAAUAAGUGUUAGCAAGAUGAUUGGUGUUGCAUUACACUUGUGCAAGUUUCUUGGAUGUUUGACUCAAGAGAGGGUGGCUGGAUGUUCUCUUGGGUCUCUGCUUCCAGGCUCAAUCCUUUCCUUUGGGUUGUUUAGAUCAAAGGCAGUGAAGAAAACCCAGCUUCAUGUGGGCCUUGCUGGACAAGGGAGGAGGCUUUGCAUGGCUGUUGCAGACGGUUGAGCACGUUCUUCUUUGAUAUUACACCAAAACUCAACAAGUGGUUUCUCAAAGAUUUGUUGUAUCUGGUCGGUGAACCCACCCCAUCACAGUAAAACCCAGUGGGCUCAUUGGCUCUGGGAAUGACUCAUUCCCUGAUCUGAGAUUUUGUAACCUUGUAUGGGUCACUUGGAAAACACGAGUUCCCUGGGGAAUGCAGAUCUUUGGAAUGUUGAGCAUUUCAUUACAUGGCAUUUAGUGAAUCGGAGUCAUUAGUGUCACCACUGAUCUCAUCAGAAAAGCUGUUACGUGCAAGGACACUGUCUAAGUCAGAGUGACAGAUGUAAGUUCUCCAAAAGUCUUAAUUCUCCCUUGAAAUCUCAGGUUUGAUCAUUGGCCGCAGAUACUGUCCACCUUUUUCUCUUGAGGUACAGGCUUACUUUGGUCCCUUUUGAGAAAGUAGCUGCCAAAUACUCAGAUCUAAAGUAUCGCAAUGUGUCUGUCAGUGGCUCUUUCCUGGUGUUCCCUGAUGCGCCACCGUGUAAGACGAAAGACAAAGAGUCCGUUCAAGUGAAGGGGGUAGUUAAGAACCUGAACCCAAACGAUGUCGUCUUACGGUUCACACCGAGCUAAAGUAGGGAAUCUGAGAGAGAAAAAAAAAAAAAAUUAUAAAUAAAUCAACGUCCACCUGUGUUAUAGAAAUAAAGUAAAAGUGCACCAUGACUCCAAACUUGGGUCACGGAGUGUACACGAUCCGCUCGUGGGAUGGUGACUCGGUGUUGGGGUCGGGGGGAAUCUGAGAAUUUGUCUGUGUAUGAGCUCCCAGGUCUAAGGUAGUUUCAGUGGUCAAAAAAAACCGAAGUAGGCCCUGUAAAAAUUCACUUGCACCACCCCACAAAAAAACCAAAAGCUCGGUCUUCAUGCACCCCGGCCCCUACCGUCGCCGACGAGGACGUCGUCGACGUCGAGGACCAGCCCUCGACCGCGAAGGGGGGGCAGUCACGUCGCAGUGGUGCACCUCCUUCCGCGCACCGUUACACCCUACUAGUGUCUUCCGCAGGACGGAACUACCUCGACGACUUUCCCAGGACUCUCGUGUGUCUCUGGACGUCCCCUGAGAAACUCUUGGUAGUGGGAGUCGGAGACCAGACAGAGAGGGACACCCCGAGGUCGGGGCAGAAGGGGGUAGUCUUUCGGGUGUAGGAACCGGACUAGUAACCGAGUCGGGCGGAGGACCCGUAACGGGUAGACUGCGACGUCACCCCUCUCUGUCGUCCCCCUGUGUCCCAGGAAUCCCCCGUCAGACCCUCUCCCUCCCUUCGGGGACCGGACCGGUGACGUCACCUGUCUACGAGUUCAGGGCCGUGCGUUAUCUUUCUCGAACCUCCGGUAGAACGGGGGACACUCCCGACUCCGGGCAGAACGUAACCCCUGGAGUCACGGAGGUGGGACGCCACCGGGUCAAAGGGUAGUCGGUGGACGGAGGUACGACCCCCGGUACCUCGGUUCCCGUCCGGACUGGGGGAGGAGGGGCACCGGAGGGAAAGGAAGGGUGAGGGGAAGGGGGUCGACGGAGGGUCGGUGGAGGGGGUCGUACCGUCGGACAGGUUCUGUGACCCAAAACAGGGGAGCUAGGCCCGUGGGACUCUCACUCUCUUUUAUCGACAGGUCACUCACACCCCCCUCCGGAGAACAAAAGGGGAGAGUCGGCGACCAAAAGGGUUGAAAGGGUAGGGUAGAGGAUACCUUGUUUCCCGGAGACCGGGGCACACGACCCGACCCGGGUCGCUCCCCUGAGUGGUCGUUGAGAAAUAACUCAGAAGUUCGCGGCCGGUCCGUGAGGUAAUUUUUCGGUAAGGGGAAACACGACGGGCCGGGGGUCGACAGGGGGGAGAGUACACUACCAGCCAGUGUCAACAUUUUGUUGUUGUGUGUCUCAACCGUUGAUUGCUCCGAAAAAAAGUUCGGUCCCAGAGGUACCGUUGGGGGCAGUUAGUGGGGAGUCCUCGCGAAAUUGGACUGGUUCUCCCCCUUUAUUUUUUAUUUUAUUAUUAUUAUUAUUAUUAUUAUUUCUUUCUUUCUCAACCUUUCGCUCGCUCUCCGGUCAUCUGUUGACCCCUCCCUUCACUAAGUCUUUCAAAGACCCCAACCCUUGUGUCCUUUUAACUUAGUCGACCUGUCCUAACGGAGUCACUGGUCUCCCCUUCCUUCAAGUAAAAUUUAUACAAGUGUAUAUCAAACAUGUAACUUUGACUAAAAUACUUCAGAGGACUGCAGAGCAAGACACCGGGUAUUUUACUACCUUGUACAAACAGUCGUCAGCCUCGACCUCCCUCCCACCGAGGGUACCCGUGUAUUAUCACUUAUCUACCAUGGUCCCCGGGUUUGGUUCUCCACGGGUCAACUACCGGAGUUCGGUCACCCCUCUCGGUAAGUCUCGAACCGAACUCAGGUCGUCCCACAGACUCAGGAAGGUACACGCCGGGUCACGGUUACCCCUAUCGGGUGCCAUACACUACCCGUACCUCGGUUCCCCUGUGAACCCCCGGGGGUAGGAACCACGGUACAUCCCUUCCUCGUCUGGAUGGUAGUACUACACAACUUCCCCUAGUACCCCACCACCCUGGGGAGCAAGAAGUGCACGACAGUACGGUCGUCUACGGGCCAAAGACCCGUGCACCGUAACGCGGGUCCCACUCAAGUUGGAAGGAACACAACCGUACCACGGCCCCGUACCGUUCGAACUCAAGAGGGGGGUCGAGCGGGGGACUGUGAGUAUGUACGACGGACCGUCGAUCGGUCCCCGAGGUGUCCAAGGGUCCAAACACGUCGGACCCGUGCCCGACACCCGUCGGGACCGUCGACGGCGGACCGGGAAGACUGUUGAGACUAGUCCCUCCUCCUCUUCCGGUCGAAGAGUCGGUCGGAAGGGGCGAGUCGUGGGUGUUUAGAUGACACGUCUGCGAGUAAGAGGGACCCUCGCCGUUCUCCUGCCCCAAGUCAGUACCGAGGACCGUGGAACCCCUCCCAAAAGAGUAAGAACCUCAAACCCUUGGACCGAUCUCCGGGCUCACGUAGUUCCUUCCCCUAGGUUCCUUGUCUUGGAAUUCAAAGGUCUUAUAAAGUUUCUCACCCGUAGUCCAGUCACAGCCAACCCAGUGACAACCCACCACGACCUGGAGAGUCCCGGACCCCUGUUUUCCUGACCUCCUUGGAUUCAGACACUCAAACCCCACUUAACCCCCCUCCAACCUGAAAAAGAACCUGAAGUUUCGGGACGUGUCUCGACCAUGGACCUCCUCGUCUCUCGUAACACUUGCGUACCCACUAUUUCCCCUACACCGGCCUCGUGCUCCAGGGUGCCCGACGAAGGAUAUUAUACUCCCGACACCCGGCCCGAGAGUACUGUCCACCGAGUACCGAGACGUCGGGGACAAGAGGCACCGUACGACAGUGGGUCCUAGAGGGUCCCGACUGGACCUUGGUGGCGCCCGGUGAGGGAGGCAGACGGGUCGAGAGGGAGAGGAGGCGACGAGAAAGACGCCACAGGGAGAGGCGGAAGAGAACCAGGAGUCAGGAAAGGUGAGGGUACGAGACUAGUGAAGGUCUCCGUUGGAGAGUCCAGUGGACAGGGGUUGAAGAGGGAACGGGGUUGAGAUCGUCACCCUUCGGCCCACCCUCGGGGUACGGCACGGUCCAUACACUGUAGAGUCACCCAAAUGUCUUCGACUGAGUGAGAGUAAAGGAGGUUCCUUUCUCGGUCCUGUUCCCUCUGGGACCGAAGGACUCCUCGGGGACACGUCGGAGAGGACCGAGGGAAACCUCGGGACACGGUGACGACGCCCACACCAUCCCUGGGAGGUCCCUGGUCUCGUCGAAACCGUCCCGGGGCAGAAACGUAGAGGUAAGGACCCACGGGACCCUUCGAGGACGUCCUCUUCUUACGAUCGUUAGACGACCACAUCAUUCGACCGUGGCGUGGGUCCGUCCCGGUGUACCACGGUCCCGGAUCAUUUCUGCAACCGCUCCCGACGGAAGGGGCACGGACCUCAAAGGAGGUCGGCCCAACCGUACACCGGAAGUCGAGUCGGACUCCGUCGAGUUCCCGCUCCACCGGAGGAGUCGUCCGGUGUCGGGACGUGGGGACGGACGGACCCCCUGGUGUGUAGGUCAGGAGGAGGAGGACGGGGUCGCUCUCCCUGGUGUCACCACUCCUCAGACAUCGCAGAACGCCUUCCUCCUCGACUCACCCCGAUCUUCCUGUCACAGGACGCAGGACCGACACCCAGUCGUCGGGGCCUCGGUCCUCCGGACCGGAAGGUCAAGGGUCGGAGAAGAGGAGUCAUUUGCUCCUACACCCGGUUCGUAGAGAGAACAUCCCAAAGACACCGGAAGAUUAGUCCCUCGUAGGUUCUUCCUGAAGCGAGACGGACCCUGUGAUUUGUAAUCACUAACGACGACGACCACCACCACCCCCAUUCUGUCGCGGGUGGGGAUCUACCGAACUCAGGACUCGACUGAAUGGAGAACACUCAGUAUGGGGCCCAGCCUGAGUGAGUGCCCGGUGUCAGCCGACAUCCUGAUUAUCACGCCAUUAUCAUUUCCCCAUGCACCGAGGUGGAACCUCACCUUGCUCUUGCUAUUAAAGGACCUUGAGGAUGCUGCCCCCACAGAGCCCAGCCCAUCCUUCUAGAACAUUCAGCAGGUCCCUUGCUCUGGCAUCCACAGCCCUCCCCUCCCACCGCCUCUUCACUCACCUGUCCAGGAUUCCCCCCCUCCACCAGCCUCUCUGGGGUUUCCUAGCAAAAAAGGGCUUCCCAGAUCCAGCCUCUCCUCCUCCCUGCAAGCUCUCCCCCAGGCCUGACUGUGUAUUGUAACAUAGUAGCUGAAUGAACUCCGGUUUCAAAGGUUAAUAUCAAAAUCUGGAGUGGAUUACCUAAAACUUACUUACAACACCAUUAAAAUUCUGAACUCUUUUUGUUGUGGCUGUAAAUUAAUUUAAAAUGUCAGGUUUUUUGAGAAAUCCAAUAAGAAAUUGAGCCAACAGAGCAAUCUGCAAACUGUCUGGCAAAGAGGAAAGUGUGUCUCUUCAAUCGACAGGGAAAAAUAUGGAGCUUAACUGGAACCAUAUGGCUCAGUACUUGAGAGAAGUCUGCGGAAGAGGGAGGGCGGGAGGGGAGGGGGGCGCUCAGCUGACAGCCUCACGCAGGCAGCAGGCUGGCCGCGGCGUUGGCAUCAACGCUGCAGAGGGGCCUGGCAGACGCCUGGCACACGGCCUACUUGGCUGCCCAGCGUCCACGGUCACCAGGCGGCCCUGGACUGCAACUGGUCAGGGCAUGGUCUUAACACUUUCUCUCGUGUCUCUCCAGGACUCCCCGCCAACUCGGGAGUCCCACCCCCGCCCCUAGGGGACCCCAAGCCCUGUCCCUGGUGGGGAGGAGUCUGGGCAUCUAGCUUGUGCCUGCAACAGCCACCUGCGUCUGUAAGGCUGCCUCCCCCAGUCCUCUGUGGGCUCCCUCCCAGCCAACAUGUGGUCCCCAUUACUCCUGAAUUCCCCCAGAUUUACAACACAUUAAGUAAUUUGUAGGUUAUUUCAACUUCAAUCUGCUAAAGUUGAGAAAAUCAAAACUAAAUUCAAACCACAAGGAAACUUCAAAGAAAGAGGAGGAAGAGAAAACCCCCAGAGCUCCUCUCCUCCAGGUCCCGUAUGUCCCCCUUCUGUCCUGAUCUGAGGAUCCCGGCCAGCCCCCCACUGCCUGCCUUCCUCUGGGCCUCCCCUUUCCUGGCCUGCACCUCACCCAGGGCCCUCCCCUCUGUCUCUGGAUAGGCUAUGCCUCGGUUGCCCUCUGCGUGAGCAUGCGGGCGCAGGGGCUGCUGUGGGGCUCACGCUGGGAUGGGUGGGUUUGGUGUGGGGAGGGGGACAUGCCUCUCCAGCUUUCCGUAUUCUCUGCUCCCGUUCCCUGGGCCCUCACCGUUUCCGGGCUCCAGAGCCUCUCUGUUCGCUUUCCUGGCCCAUUUUGGGGGAGUCUCCACGGCUCUGUUCCGGCUCCUUCCAUGCCUGGGACAGCUGGCAGCUAGUAGGUACCACCUGGCCCCUCGGUGUACUAGCUCAGUUUACCUUAUUUUGCUUGCUACCCUUUAAAACAGCCUUGUAAAUAAGCAAACACUCGGUGCCAAGCACCUUCGGCACUUCGCCAGGCUGGUAAAUAUUUUAGUAGUGACUUGGUAACAGUUGUGUUCACUUUGAUUUCCUCGGAAAGGUUCUUGGUGCUGGGGAGGGGCCGUGGCUUGGGGAAACCAUUUGCUGGUUAUUUAUAGUCCAGCUCUGACCACGUGCCCUUUGCUCUGACCCCGUGGACUGUAUGCUGGGGUAUUUUUGAAGUUGGAGUGACAUUGGCCUCACACCCCUGCUGGCCAAGAUGUGGAGGCCUCCCCCACCUUCUCCAGGAGUGUCCGUGCAGACAGAGUUGUGGGGUCUGGGAUUUGGGAAACUAGACUUGUUCCCACCAGGAACCUGAAGAGAUCUGGGAGACUUGGGCAGCUGGGUGUGAGUUUGAGGCCAGCUCCCAGUGACAUGGUUCGGACUUGGGAAGAACCCUGAGCAGCAGGCUAAGGAGGGCUCUGGGGUUGGGGUGCUUGAUGCUUAGGUCAGAGUUGCAAUGGCCACCUAAGAUGGCCAGAGAAAAGCUGACUGUGACUGUCGCUGACUGCAGAGGCGAGUCUGGGGAGCAUGCCACAAGUGGAUGAGUUUUCUAGAGAACCCUUACUGUGGGGAAGAGGAAUGCAGGUGACAAGCCACAGAAGAUUGACAGGGGGAGCAAGCUACCAGCCAGGGCUGCUAAUAGAUGCCCUGGGGUCUGGGCCUUUCCUCCAGGCCAUGACAGGGACACCUGUAAAGUGCAAGGCCGCCCUGCCCAGUGUCAGGAAGCUGGUCUAGCCAGACCCAACUUUGCCAUGUCCAGCAAGGCACAUGCUGCCCCAGGCUGGGUACCAGGGGAAGGAAGGGCGAGGCGGAGGGGUGGCGCAGGCGUCUGGCUUUAAUAGACUGCUCUGCGCAAAGCCACUUACUCCUUUGUUUUACGGGCAGUUUUAAUGUACAGAUGGGUUAGUUUUAAAGGGAUUCGAAAUCAUGGUACAGGGAGAGCGUGGCACUGUGCCCAGCUUGCAGUGCCCCCAACCUGGGUGGUGAGUGACCACAGCUGGCCAAGAGCAAAGUCGGAGUGAUGCCCGUCUUCUCUCACUUAGCUCAGGGUGGCGGGCAGGCCAGGGGAAAGUGGGUGCCUCUGCGUUGGGUAGGAUGGGCUCGGUGUUAGGAUGAGGACCCUUGCUCUGCCCACCCACCAUCCACACAGGUGGGCGGAGCCUUCCCACGACAGCUUACAGCCAGGGCACUGUUCAGCUGACCAGCCAACCUGCUGCCACUCCCAGCCGCCUGCCCUUCCUCCCUUGGCUCCUGGCGCCAUGAUGCGCGCCUCCCGUCUGCACCCACGCACACCCUAUUGGUGCUCGGCCGCCGUGGGCGCAAGUCAGGUGAGCGGCAGACAGAGUGGCAGACCCAGCUCACCUCCUUCCCGGCGGGACUGGUGCCAGGGCUGUGCUCUUCCCGGAAGGCUUCCAAGCUCCCCCGCACGGCAUCCUGUUGAGCCUGUUUUUGGGGUGCGGGGGCAGGCCUUUUUGGGGGGAGAGUGUCUGCCCCAUGCUGCCCUGGCGCCAGCUCUUCUUGGAGGCCCAUGGUGGUGCCUGAGGGCGGCUCUGGGCUGGGGCAGGAGAUGGGGGUGUCUGAGCCGGGAGUCAAGGGAGAUGCGGCCAUCUUCUGCCAUGCUGGGGCCCCACUGUGGACAGCUGCAGAGCCCUGGGCGGGUCUGCUUUGGUGCAUGUUGCCUAGUGGCCCCUCUGUCCAGGGUUCUCCAUGAUGACCGGCAAGACCCAGAGCCUCUCUCUGUGCCCUCAGCUGGGCCCAGCACCCAGGUCAAGGCUCAGGGAACCUCAUGACUUUUUGGCCUUGCCCGCUCUGGCUCUCCAGUUUUCAGUGUUCUUAGAAUCUUGAGGACUUCUAGGGAGGUGAGAGGAAGGUAGAAGAGGCCUUUUUCUGAGCAUCCGGGACUUUCGAGAAAGAGAUCUGCCUCCCAAGGUUGAGGACCCCAGGGUCCCGAGGUCUCCCCUCCUGCUGGCCCCUGUGUGGAAAGGAGGGCUGCCUUGGAGAACUUUUGACUGCCCUUGGCCUUGGGUUUCCAGGAUGCUCUUGUACUGGUAUGAGUAUCUGGAAAUGACUUUUCUUUUCCAGUGUCCCCCCAGCCUUUGGGAAUGGGGUGCCCAUCAACACCACUCCCCUCCCCACUGUUGCUCAGGCACAGGUGAGAAAGGAAGACCCUGCAGAGCCACUCAGGGAACUAGUGGCUGUGACCUGCGCACUUCAGUGGCAGGCACUUGGGGCAGGACGAGGCACCGGUGUCUGCCCAGCCUCAGCAGUGCCUGGAAGUCUCCAGGAAUUUAGAGAUUCCCUGUGUCUUCUGAAGGAGACGAUGCUGUGCUGUGCUGUGCUGUGCCUCAGUUUCCCUAGGUGGCCUCUCAACAGCCACGAUGAUGACCUUUAGGAAAGAGAGGCAAAGGGUAGUGACUGAGAUGACCCAAAGAGGCCACCUGGGCCUGCUCCUCUUCCCUGUCAUGGGCCUGCCUCUGCUUUCGAGCUGGUGAGAUCAGGGGCAAAGAGCGAUUGGCCUCCACCAAGGCCUGAAGGUUUGCUGGGCUGAGGCCACUACAUGAGGCCCCCUCCAGCCUGCUAGGUCCCAUACAGACCAGAGCCUGCCAGGUCUCAGUUGGUGGGCCAGCGCCUAAGCAGUAAAAUACGGACUAGGAAGGAAAAGAAGGUCAGAGGCAGACGCCGUGGGCCCGGAGCCAGGCAGACCCUCCACUUCACCAAGCCCAACGCUGGGUCUGGUCGCAAGGGGGACGAGCUGGCAGGUGGCCAGUUGCCCUGUUUCUCCUUGAUGCCUGCGUGGAGGGAGUCCUGGUUUCGAGCUCCCUUCGAGCCGGGAAUGGAGGAGAGCCUAUGAAAAUGAUGAUAUGUGACAAUCAGUCACAGCAAUUAGUGUUUUGGUUAACAGGCCUUUUUUGUUUUCUCUCACCCAGACAGAAUGUCACAAAUAAAUCCUCUCCUGCAUUUGCAUAUUAAUUGGAUCGGAGACGUCAAGCAUCUUUCAUUAAAGAAAAUGAUCUGCAUAUUUGGAGACAUAAAAUAGUUAUUUUGAUGGGUUUUUUUCCCUAAGAUCAGGGGGUGGGGGAGGUAGGUGAUGGGAGCGGCAGGAUGGAGGUAGAGUGAAGGCAGAGCCAGCCCUCUGUCUGGAGUUAACCCUCUGCAGACUGGGACCGAGGGGUGAGGCUGGGCAGAAGGAUAAUUAGUCCAUAAAUAAACCAAAGAGCCAAGGGUCCCAGGCCCAGCUUGACGGCUAUGCAGAAGGGACCCUCAGCAGAGUUUGAUGCAAGGAGGUGGGUGGGCUGUGGGCCCUCAACCUUGCCCUUGAACUCCUCCUCUGAGCGCCGUCCUGCCCUGGAGUACUUCCCUGGAGCAGUGGACAGGAGGCAGAGGGCGUGGCCAGGUGCCCACCUUGUACCUUGGAGUCCCCGGCUUGUCCUGUCCAGCUCCAUGUCCCCUUCACCUUGGCCCCUGAGUCAGCUCGUUCCCCCAGCCCCUGCUCUUCCUUUCUGGUAGUGCACGCAGCUGUGCCCACUUUCUCCCCACUCUCUGACCUUGGGCUUCCUGUGCCCUUCUCGUUCUCUGCCAAUCAUCCUCCCUCUCCUCUCCCCAGAUGGAAAGUUUUCUGGGGGCAGCAGAAGUGAAGCCUGGAGUCAUUAUCACAUGUACUCGAAAUAACCCAGAAAGCUGCAGGGCCCAUAUUAGGGCAUGAGUCCCCGUGGAAAGCUGAGCGAAUGUACAGUUUUUGAUAGGCAAAUGGGACUGCCCAAGUCAUCCCUGUUCACCCUCCUGCCUACACUCUAGGCCCUUGUCAGCUGUGUUAGCCAGUGUUCUGGGUGGGCGGCAGGGAUGGCUGAUGGCUGAUCUUGGAGACAUUUCUGAGCCCUCCCAGACAACAUCUAACUCGCUUUCCAGUCUGCCAUCCCCAGCCCCAAAGCCAUGCUCUCUGGCACCUUCUCCUGGUUAGGAAGUGUUUAGGUGACGAUGAUGAUGACAAUGAUGACUGCCACUACUUUUUGCACAUGGAAAAUGUGUAGACACUUUGCUAAGUGCUUUGCACUUGUCUCCCGGCAUCCUCGCUACAGCCCUCUGAGAUGGCCAUGGUCAUUGUGCACACCUCAGAGAUAAGGAAACUCAACCUCAGAGAGGUCAGGUAGCAUGCUCAUCCGUGCCCUUCAGAGUUCAGAACUUGCAGCCAGAACUGAGCUCCACAGGGCUCAGCUGGGGGGCCUCUGAUGGAGCAACGGAGAUCUGCAGUGGUCUGGCUCCUUGUUUGAUCCCAGUCCGGUGCAAAGACACUCUGACUGUGGUGCAGAGUGUAAGGCCUGUCUGCACUGCGGCCUCUUCACCCCACUGAGAAGACAAGAACUGCUUUCCCUUGGGGACUGCGAGUGACCUUGGAUGACUUCUGUGGAGCCUUUAACCCCAGAGGUGCCUGUUCCACACUUGGUCCUUGCAUGCAGCUUUGCUUAGAAUUAAGUGCCCGGAUCUUCUAUUCUCCUCUGAUCCUUCUCACUGUGCCGGGCUCCGGGGCUCAGGCCUGGGAUUCAGCAGUACCUGAAGGCGUGGCCAGCUCUCUGGUGGAGCUAUAUACCAGCUCACCUCUGUCCCAUGGCCUGGGUGGGCCUGGGUUUCCCUUGGUAGCCUGGGGUUGAUGCUGCCUCCCCAACACCCAGAUUCUAAAUGUGUGGUGUGUGCAGCCUUAGGUCAAAACCUUGAACUUCAGGAUCCUUUCCUUUGGCUCCCUUCUUCCUCUAGCCAGGGUUCAUGAGCAGGGCGUGGCUCCCAGGUCUAAAGGGAAGGUGUGAAGUGUGGCCAGAAGGUUUUGGAUGCAAACUGAGUCAGUGUGGGUCCUGCCUUGCUGUUUUUAUGACCCGUGUGCCUCGAGCAAGUCAUCUCCCUUCUCUGAGCCUCAGUUUCCUCCUGGCUCCGACGGCUUUGCCCCAGCUCGUUCCUGGACCACCCUCUGACCCUCAGUGACUUUAGCUACAUGUGCUUUUGGCAGGGCAGGAACAGUAGCAGGGAUCUGGUGGCCCUCAAGUUUUGGGUUCUUGGAGAAGGGGCUUGAGGUGGGGUGUUUUAUGGAGUCUGGGGAGUCCUGCGGCAGCUGUAUCUGUUAAAUGCCAAGAAGCCAAGUUGGUUUAAUAUGAUUGUAGCUGCUGCUUUGAUAAAUCAAAAUAAUUAAAAAUAAUAAAUUUGAUUCCUCAACCAACAGGCUGUGUGUGGGCGCAGGGCCUGGGUUGCGGAGCUAGGGAACUGGGAGGGGACACUGGAACACAGGAAGGCCUGCCUUUGUGGGAUCAUAAAUGGGGAGGUGGACAUGAGACUGGCCUAGAGGUCAGCUCUGCAGAUCGAUAGGCGGGGAGCGUCUUUCAUGAGAAGAGUGUUGUCCAGGUUGGGCCAGAACCCUCGUGGGACCUGCCCCUGCCAGUCUCAGUGUCCUCAUCUGUCAAGUGGGGCAGUAGUCCCACCUGCCUCACAGGGCUUUGCUGAGCACGUGGAGGGUGGGUCAGACCCUUGUGAGCCUGUGUCAGGCCUUGUGGCCCCCUCAGCUCAUCUUUGCACUGCUGGGUACUGUCACCGCCUGGGGCUCACUGCAUUGCUACCCACAGCUGCCCGGGACUCUUCCUCAGCUGCCGGCUGUUGUCCCAACACAGGAUUGUUCUGUUUAUGAGGACAUCCCCUGGUGCAGGACAUUUCUAUUGAUAGCUCCCUUCUGGUUCCAGAGUUGGGUCAGGAAGCAGCAUGCCACACCCUGGGACAGUCUCUGGUUCAGGGUGCCGGCAGCUCAGACCACGGUGGGUGGGAGCUGGAAGGGUCAGCCCCCUUCUCCCCUCCCUCCCACCCCAUCCACAUCCUCAGGAGCCCUGUUUGGUGUCUGAGCUGCUGGAAAUCUGAACUGAGUGGAGGGGGAGGGCCUGGGGGGAGGGAGGGACAGGGUGUCUGUCUCUUUAAAUGCACUUUGUGUCAGUGCGAUAAGGAAUUUGAUGGCUUUAUCAGAAAUACCAAAGCUUUAUUUAGCAGGGUGAGGCUCACACCACUCGGCUCCACGCAAUCUGCAGAUAAAUAGCAAAAAAGAAAAGGAGAACGGGCCCAGCGGCUCCCCCAGCUCCCCAACACCCCACCUCGGCAGAGAAGCAAGGACAGGCCAGGGGAAAGGCGGAGGCGCCAAGUUGGGAGUUUGGAGGAUCCCCGAGUCGCUGGCAGGGUGGGGUGCGCGCAGUGGGACCCACAGGGCUUUCUGAAAGUGCUGACAGGCCGGCUUCUGCCCCUGCUCCACUGGAGGCCUUCCUAGAUUUUUCUGUUAUCAGGCACAAACUCUAGGACAGUCCUAAUUCUUCCAGAGAGAGGGCUCGCGGGAGACACGCCUCUGGCCCGUCCCUCUACCUCCAGCCCAGCCAGGUCUCUCCAGGGCAGUCCUCAGGCCCAGCCGUGGGCGAGGAGGAAAGGCUGGAUGACCGGUCAAGGAACCGCCAGGGGGCUGCCCCUCUCUGCAGCUCUGAGAAGGGGGCCCUGGCUCCACACGAUGUGGCGGAGGAAGCUGGAGAGGGCAGGGCUAGGGGCCCAUGGGACUCUGUGCUCAGGGCCGUCUCAGCCCUGGUCACAUGGGGAUGCCAGAGAAGCUGUGGCAUGGCCCUGCCUACCUGUGGCAUUCCAGGACUUUCUGUGCUUUCUGCCAGUUGGGCAGCUCUGAAGGACCCCCCACCCCCAUCCUGGCCAGUCUAGAUUUCCCUCUUUUGGAAGGUCAGCAAACCAGCAAAAUGACAUCUUUAUUCCCUUCUUCCUCCUUGAGCCUCCUCUUUGUACCCUUGUGUUUGUCUUCCUGCCCCUCCUGGGGGCCCCUCCCCAGAGAUCCAGCUUCAUGGUCAACACAGGGCAGCGGUGGCUCAGGCAUGGCAGUUCUGAAGUCCUCCCAACUCUGCCCUCCUCCCUUUGCCCUCCACCCCCAAAAGCUUUUGAUGGGAGCAAAGCAGAAUUAAGCCUGGUCCCCAUCCAGGCCUCUGCGUGCCCUCCGGGGUUCUCCUCUUCUAACCCUGGAGACCCGAGCAGGCUUGGGCAUCUGUGCUCACAGGAGAGCCUCCCGGGUGGUAGCAGGUGGGUGCUGUGGGGCAUGGAGGAUCCUCUACUCCUUCCUCAGCUGGGUGCACAGAGAUGCUUCUCCAGGCCCCACUGGCCAGCCUUUGGGCUCCUCGCCCCUUCCUGCUGGCUCCACAGUCCAGCAGAGCCAAGGCCUGAGUCCUGUGCAGACCCGGUAUACCCCGGCUUCAGGGCUGCUUCUGCCUCUUGGUAGGCAGCAGAGUUGGUUGAGGAGAGGUCUCUGCCCAAAUAGGUGUCUCCAAAAGUGGCAGAAGGACCAAGGCCUUCCAGAGCCCACAAGCUGGUCCCUCAGACAGCAAGGAGGUUGGGCAAGGACAAAGGACACUUCGGGGGUGGUUACGGGGAGUCCAGCCUUGGGCUGGCUGAAGGCCAGGUGAGCAGACUUGGAGAGUAGCUCUGGACUGAGCAUCCUCUCCCUGGAGCAGAGAGGGAGCUGAGCCCAAGCUCCCCAAAGUAAGUUAACGGCAGGGAGCCCGAGAAAGCUGGGCCAGCAGGCUGAGGGCCAGCCAGGUCAGUCUCAUAGGGAUUCCUGGGCUUUGGGGAGUGGAGCAACAGGAUUAGCCUGGCUGCUUGGGGAGGGGAAGCACGGGGCGGAGAAACAGGGGAGCUGGGGGUGGGGGGGUGGGUGCUGGCCAGGGCAGGGCAGAGGCUGGAGGAAGCUGCAGAAAGGCCGAGGCCCAGAGACAGACAGGAGGAAUAAGUGGAAGUGACAGGGUCAGGCCAGACCUUUGUCCUGCAGCCUGAUUAGAGAGUCUGCCCUGGAUUUCUGAAACUUUGGGAUGUUGUCGGACAAACUGGAGCUUAAUUCUGUCAGAGCGCUGGGGAGAUUAGAAUUGACAUCCUGGGAGCACAUUCCUGGCUGGGCAGAAAUCCAGCCCCCGCUGGGAAAAACCUGUGAAAGCAUGGCUGGCCCGUGGUGGCGGCGGGGGUGCCCCUCAGCACCGGUGGCCACUGCGGCCUCGUGGGUUGGAGCCAGGAGCCUUUGGAAGCCUGGGCUGUGUCACUGGAAAUCACAGAGGCUGGGCACGGCCACUUCUGAAUCUAAUUCCUUUUCUGGGUCCUUUCCUAGCCGCCCUGCCUGGGGCAGAGAACUACAGUUGGUUGGACCUCCAUUUCCCCAUCUUUUAAAGGGGCAAGUUCUGCCUUCCAGACAGCUCACCUAACCCAGCCUUCCUUUCCUUUGAACUUGGAGGCCUAACUCUGGGCGGGUGAUGGGGACUCUUCCCCAUGCUCAGCUGUGGCAGAGCCAGAGCCUGCUGGGAGAAGUGAGCCUUCUCUUGCUCAUCUCCCUGGUGUGGGGUGGCAGGCAGUGCCCAUCAGCACCAUGUUCCAGCUGGUGCAGGUGGAAGGCCCCUGACAUUGAACACGGUGGGUCCUUUCCAUCGGCCUCUGGAAGCCCCUUGAGAUGGGCUUGUCCCUCUCUCAAGAACUCCAGGAAACCCCCACCCAGACUAAGCAAGCUGAGGCCAGCAACGCAGGCCACGCCGCAGGGGCCUCAGGCAGGAUGGCCACCCUCAGGACAAGAGAGGGGACUGGAGGACGGGAUUGCAGGCCAAGCACCGGAGCCCCAAACGGGGCUGUUUCCGGAAGAAUUGAGUACCCCUCCCCACUUCCCUCCUGAUUCUAAUGACUUUUAAAUAUUGGUAAAUAUUUUGGCUGGUGCAGGCUCUCGUGGCAGAGAGCUAAGCUAUCUACAGUUCAGGACCUACAAAUUAUUUAUUAAAGAUCUGAGAUGCGGCGCAAUUAUGUGGAAAGGGUCCAAAAAUUAAAUAAAUAAGUAACAAAAUAAAUAAAUAACAGCCCCACUGGCCUCUUGAAGGCUUGGGGAGCUGCACACAUGAUUGUCGGCUUGAUGAAAUCCCCCCGGAUGUAAUGAGCUGAUUUUCUGCUGUUAAUAUUGCAUCUGCUGAUGAAGGAUUCGUUAGGAUAAUGGAACGAAGCUAAAAUAUAAAUGACUCCCUGUCAAGAAGCAGCUUUUGUUUGUUGAUCUCCUGACAGUUCCCGGGCCAAGGCAGGGGUUUCUGUGUGCUCACGCAUUCGGGAGCAGGCAGGAGGGCGGGGUGAGGGCCUCCGGGACCCCUGAGCACCUGGCUCCCGGUUAUCCUGGGCUUUCCCUUUGAGGUGGGACUGCCCGACCUUUGGAAGCCCUGGAGCCCUGGGGGCGGGGAAGUCAUCCGUCAGACCCAUCGGGGCCUGUUGCACUAAGAUGCUGGGCGGCUGCACAAGUUGUCUGGGGAGCCAGGCAGAGGGAUGCACACACACACGAGAAGACACGUUGCCUGUGUGUUGCGGCACUUGAGACCUGCCGUCGCGGGUACCGGCCUGGGGCCAUCGGGAGACACCCAGCCUUUCCUGGUUUCUGUUCCUUCCACCAUCAAAGAGCACAUCUUGCCCAGGCCCAGGAACACCUGGGCAGUGGUUCAGUCAGUCAGUCAGUCAGGGCUGGUGGGAAAGGACCCAUUCAAAGUGAGGGUGUUCACCUUUGCGCCCUGCCUGUCUUAGCUCACCUUUCUGCUGAGCUGCCACAUGGGCCACCCACUGUCCUCUUCCUAACAGCAUUUGUUUUUUCCUUUUUAAAAAAAUUAUAUCAUUUUUUUGGACUGGGGACGUAGCUCAGCUGGAAGAGUGCUUGCUUCACCUUCACAAGGCCCUGGGUUCAAUCCCCAGCACCACAUACAUACAAACAAAAAAAGUGAUUUCUUUUUUAUUGUGAGAAAAUGCACAGGCCAUAACAUUUCCCUGUGUGACUAUUUUAAAGUAUACAAUUCAGUGUCAUUAAAUACAUUUCCUAGAGUUGCAUGUCACUGAUACCUAGUUCCAGAACUCUUUCAUCACCCCCAACAGAAAUGGCACCCAUCACACUCCACUCUCCCCUUGCCCCAGCCCCACAACCACUAACAUGCUCUCUGUCUCCAUGGAUUUUGUCUCUGUUAGGAUAUUUCAUAUGAAUGGAGUCAGUGUGUGGCCUUUCCUGUCGGAUCUUUCACUCAGCUUGUUUUCCAGGUGUGCCUAUGUUGUAGCAUGAGCCAGGACUCUGUUCCUUUUUAUGGCUGUGUGAUACUCCAUGGUGUGGAUAAACCACAUGUUGAUCCAUUUAUCAGUUCAUGGACACUUGGGUUGUAUCCACCUUUUGGCUAUUGCAAAUAGUGUUGCCAUGAAUAUUUGUGUCCGAGUUUUUUCUUGAGUCCCUGUUUUCCCUCCUUGGGGUCUAUAGCUAGGAGUGGAUGUGUUGGAUGUCUCCCAGCUUUUAAAGACAGGGACCCUGGCAGCUGAGAGCAGGUGCUUACCAUACCAGACAUUGUGCUGAGCACUUCUUCAGUGGGGUCCUCCCAGCAGCUGGCAGUAAGUUUCGAGGCAUUGUUCAGAUCAGCUGUCACCAGCUCUGUCUUGGAUCUCUCUUACUUUUUCUUCCCUGUGCCCAGCAUGGCGUGGUGCACACAAUAUGGGCUCAAUAAACACGUGAUGAUCUCACAGAACCCGGCUGGGGGAGAGCUGGGGUCAACUUGGGGAAGGGCUGGGAGCAGUUGCUGUCACUCUGGGCAUCUGUCUGGCCACUGUGCUUGCCGGUCCAGCAGAUAUUCAGCCCUGAGUGGGCUGAGACCGGCCAGAACGCUGCUGAGCCCCUCCCAGCAUAUGGGAAAAUCUUGCUGACUCCUUGGCCAGAACUGCUUCUCAUCUUGACCUUGAAGGCCCUUACAAAGGGAGCAUACCAGGCCACCAACUCAGACCCUUCUUCCUGGGAAGGAGACCAGUACUGUCCAGAGGCACCUCUGUUGAUCGAUAGGCCCCCUGGGGAAAUGGUGGCAGUAUUUUCUCCUCCAGAGGGGUCCCAGGAGGGGCCACUGGAGGGGCCAGAGGGCACCUCUUCUCCUAGAACCUUGAGCAUCUCCCAUCAGCCUCAGAGUCCCUGGCCAUGCAUGAGAAUCAUUUGAGACAGCGUCCAGUAGGACAUAUGAAGGCUUGAGUUGGGAAGGCCCAGGACAGACUGGGAGAGUGAGAGCGCCCAGGGCCAACCUGGCCAGCAAGGUUCCUAGCUGAAGGACAGAGGGGCCAAGCUGGGUGCCUCUCUGCUUUUUUAUUUUAUGACUAUUGUUAAAAAAAAAAAAAAAUUCUUGAAGGGCUAGGGAAGGGGCCCAGUGGUAGACUGGCGAGGUCCUGUGUGCAGUGGCCAAUACCACCAACAAACCUGGAGCCAGGGCUUAAAAGAACACGUUGGCAAACCCCUUUCCUGUUCCUGAAUCCCUAGGUCCUCCUUCUUGACCCUGUGCAGACUUUUCAGGGUUCUGGACAAAUGCCCGUCAAGACUGGGCUCUCUCCAGGUGCUGGACAGACACAGCCACCUGGGCCUCCCUGCCGGGAGGUCUUGGACACCCUGCCCUCUGCGGGGACGGGCAGCUCACUCUGACUGCCGUCCCAUCCAGACCCGGCACCUGCUGGACCACGCAGAGCCCGCGGCCCCUCAUUGUCCUGCUAACCACUGUGUAAAGGUUCUGGGCGUCCUGUGACCUCUCCGUCUUGCCUGGUCACGCUGUGGAUGGCCCACUGACACACAUCCCCGGGCGGGCGGGCACUGCGCGGGCUGGGGAGGGCCUGCCUGGCCCCUGCGUGGCCUUCUCUCCCCAGCCCUCCUCCCCUUCUCUCUUUCUAUCUUUCUUUCUUUCCCCCUCUAUUUCUGCCUCCCUCCCUCUCUUUCUCUCUCUCACUCUCUCUUUUUCCCCUCUUUUAACAUGGUUUUCCUAAAAAGUUUUUUAAUCAAUCAAAUUUGAGGCAGAAAAUAGGUUUUGUCACGCCUGGUCCCGGGAUAGUGUGACUCUCACCCAGACUCCUGACAGCUCCUCAAUGCAGGGAGGGGGCCAAACAGAAUAUUUCUCCGGGAAAGUGCCCGUUUCCAUGACGCUGCCCCUUGUUGUCUGUCUGCCCCCCUCCUCAAGCUGCCACUGACAUGGCCCCAGCCCCUGUGAAAGGGCCAGGCCUGGAGAGGGGGUGUGCGAGGACGGGAGGCCGAUGGGGGCAGGGGAAGGAGCCAGCACUGGGGGGAGCCGGGCAGCCCGACAGCUGUCCUGAGCCUCCAUGGCCCCAGAGGGUUGGGAGCAGGUAGGAGAAUGGGGACAGGGGCCUGGCCUGGGCUGCAUAAUCAGAGGAGCCUCAUACAUACGGAGCUGGGCAGCCGCGGGUGAGGCUCCGAGGCCGAGCCUGGCCAGGCAUUGGCUCCCGUUGACUGCGAGGGAUGAGCCUUCUCCAGGUCCUGGUACGCUGGCCCCUGCCCUGCCCCCCCUUCACUCUCCACCAUCCUUCCUGGACCCUGGACUCCAGCACCUCUGCCCCUCCUGGCCCGGCCCACCCGGGUGCCCCACCGAGCUCCCAGGCCCCUGCUCUUCCCUCUUCCUCCUCCCCAUCUCCGUCUUUCACCCUCUCCUCUCUACUCUUCUCACUCUCUUUUAUAAUUAAUGAUUAGUUUUAAUUGGUUUGCUUAGGCCGCCUGACAGCAAAUUAACAGAAGCCAGCCCAGGGCUGCCAGGCUCGGGUGGGAGACCACUGAGCUUCCGACCGGCCAGGGGAGGCAUGAGGCAGGCUGCCCCACGCUCUCCCCUCCUGGCCCGUGGGCUGGGCGAGCUCCGCAGAGGUCAGGCAGCAGCCAGCAAGAAGAAGGCAACAUACUUCGCGCGGGAGGGCUCUCUGGGCCACCGUCCCCGGCUUUGGUUUCUGUCCUCUUCACUGUCACACACUGGGGUCAGGCAGGAGGGGGGCAGGCUGCUGCCUCUGGUCUGGGGCAGGGUGCGCUUUUGAUUCCACCAUCCUCACCUGGACCAUGGGCCAAUAGGGCUGGUAGCUUGGCACCUCUGGAGCCAAGAUCUUUCCCAUGGACAGGAGGAAGGGGCCACAAGGUUGCUGUCACCAUGAGCUUUGUUAGCUGUCCUCAACCUUCUGGUCCUUGGUUGUCUGACUCGAGUAGUUAGGAUUAAACACUGGGUGGACAGACGGACAGGUGGAUGGAUGGAGGGGUGGGCCGCUGACAGUGUGGGUACGCUGGCAUUCCUUGGGCACUUUCUGCCAUGACCCUUGAGCACGUUCCUUCCCCUUUCUAGCCUAGAAGGGUCUUGCUUAUCCUGAGCCUCCCUGAGAGUAGGCUCCCCACUCUCUGGUUUUCCCAGCUGCUCUACCUCUUCCUGGGCCUGGCAGAAUCCCUCCUGACCACACCCACUUCCUGACUCUGCUAGUCCUUGGGUAUGCCACCUACUCAUAGGGGCCAGAACAGGCAUCAGGCACAGAGAAGGGCAGACAGGAGAAGAUACUUUGGCAAGGAGAGAGAAAUGGUGCUGGGAUGCAGCUCGUGGUAGAGCGCGUGCCUAGCAUGCUCAAGGCCCUGGGUUCCAUUCCAGGCCCUGCCAAAUAAAAGAAAAGAGAAUUGAACAUGUAGUACUGGGGACUCCUCACUGCCCCCUACCCCGCCCCCCGGGGACCUAGAAUCCACCAGUGUCCCAGAUCCACCCAGAGGCAGCCUCCCUGCUGUGAUCCACCAGGCCAACUGCUUGGGGCCAGUGCAUCCUGGUCCUGGAACGUGGCAUCUCUGCCCCUCCCCCCUUCCCCCAGCCCCAACCAACUCCUAGAAAGUUUCCUGCCGAUUGUUCUGUGCGAUCAGAUCUGCAAGUUGCUCUCUAAGCUUCUUGUCACAUUUUGACUUAAUGAAGUGCAACUGCUGAGGGAUUUGGGUUCAGCGCUCCGGUCUCCGCGCUCCCUUGUUGUCAGAAAACAGGGGUGGUUGGGGACGCCAACACAGCGCUGCAAGUCGUUAUCAUUCCGGUCAGUCUGUUUAACACAAAAUUAAACAAAGAACUAAUUAGUGCCUCAUGAAUUAAUAAAUGCACAGUUGCCGGGGAGGAUGGGAGGGGAGAAAAAGGUGGUAGAAGGGAGAUACUGGAGUUGUGGAGUUGGGGGGCUUUGGGGGUCCAAGGGAGGCUGGCCGGGACGCCUUGAGAGAGCACAGGCAGAAGAGCUUGGGAUGGACAGGACAGUGAUGACACCCCAGCCAGGGCCCAGACUGACUGGCCAGGACGUGAGCUCGGCCAGCAGAGCCCACCUGGUGCCUCCUGGUGGAGGCCUGAGGUCUCCGUGCCUGGUCCUGCGGCCUGCUGUGGGGUCCUUCCACUUGGCCCAGCUAGCCUCUCCUCUGUGACUCCUCCCUUUUCCUCGCUGGGCCUCUGCUGGCCUCCUCUGCUCCCCUUUUCUCUCUGCUGCCCCCUAUCUCAUUUGCCUGCCCAGCUCUCUGCAGACCCUCAGCUCUUACCAUCUGCAUCAGAUAGGUGGGUGUUAGAAGCCUGCAGGGCGGCCCUCCACAACCACUGCAUGCCCACCACACCCUUAGUCCUCCCAGAGGCUAUACUGGCAGGGUGGGUACCCCUCUGCCCCAGCCCAGCACAGGCAGCAAACACCAGCAGAGAGCCGAGCCCUCCUUAAGAGGGCAUGUCAGGUACAAUUAGCAUUAUCUGUCUAAAUAUGUCCUGGGAACGGGAGAACGGCUGGUGGGACUGGGUGGCAUUCCGGGAGCCCUGUGCAAGGUCACCUCAUCUCCCACAAUCCCCCCAAUCUGAUUUGGGGAUUACACGGCCUAAGGAAAUUGGUGUUAUUCCUCUUGCAUCAUUGAUAAGCCACAAAUGAGGGAGAGGAAAGAAAAAAUGUAGCUAAGAGCCCACUCUCCCGAGCGGGGUUGAUGCUGAGGCCAGAGCACAGGGCCGGCUCAGCAAGGGCAGGUGGGGCCAGGUGGGUGGGCAGAGGCCUCCUUGGGUUUUCCCUCCGUGCUGGGGGUCUCUCCUGAGUGAAGCUUCUCACACUCCUGCUGUUGGCUGGAGGGCCUGAGCCUGAAGGCCAAGCUGAGUCGUGUGUUGGUUAAAGACCCUCAACAUUGUUGGGCCAUUUCUCUCUCCUUACGUGGACGUAGUUGUGGGGACUUACUGGUGGACCCCAGGUUGGGAGGUGCUAUCCGCAGCCUGUUCCUGAGGAGUUGAGGCCUCUUGGUAUACCUGCCCUGGUCCACCCUUGCCCUUUGGACACCCACUUACUCUAGCAAAAGCUUGGCAUCUGUCACUUUUAUGUUCGGGGUGGGGGGGGCAGUGUAAAGGAGAAUGCUGUGUUCUGUCGUCUCCAGGCGUCCCUUCUCAGCCACUGCAGCUCCACAGGACUGGUAGUCCCCAUAACCGGAGCCCCCCAUAACCAGAGCCCCCCAUGCCUGAUUCCCAUCUCUGCCUCUGUGAACAAGAGUGGGAAUCAUGGUCUGACUUUCCUCCCCUUGGUUAGGGCUGUCCUGAGAUCUGUAUUUCCCUGGUGAUCGGCCCUGCUGUUUUCUGAAGUUUCAGACUUUGGUUGGUAUGUGCUUAAGUGGGUCAAAAUCAGAGUCUACUCAGCAUGUCUAAAUGGCUGACCCCUGCAGCUGGCCUCAGAGCAUCAGCCCCUCAACCCACAAAGUGGCAGGGAACCCUGGGGGUACACAGAGUCUUGGAGGGCCUGCCCUGGGGAGUUGUGGAGUUCCUGACUGAAAAGGCUAAGGGGAACAUGGCAUGGUGUGUAAUCCCAGAGUCUUGGGUAUCUGAGACAGGAGGAUUGCAAGUUCAAGACCAGCCUCAGCAGCUUUGAAAGGUCCUCAGCAACUUUGAGAGACCCUGUCUCCAGAUAGAAAAGGCAGGGGAGAGGGGGAUGGGAAUGUGGCUCAUUGUCAAAGUGCCCCUGGGUUCAGUCCCCAGAACCAAAAAAAAGAAAAAAAGACUAACAGGCUCCUCUCUCUUCCUCCCCAGGAUGAAGUGACACCCCAGCAGCAUCUGAGGCACCUCUAGGACCCAUUAGGAGGUAAGGCGUGCACCUUCUCCAUGAUCCUGUGUCUUCUCUCCUGCUGGUGACCACUCGCAUGCAUGACACAUGUGUCAUCCUGAGUACCCAGGAGAAGUGGGAAAGGUGGGGGGGACAGGAAAUGGGAGCCAUGCUGCCCAUUGGAGCCUGGCAAGAAAAGAUGAGCCCCAGCAGAGCUUCUCUGAUUGGCUCUUUGGCUGGAAAUGGGCGGGGGACUCAUGCAUUGCAGACAGGGGCAAGGACUGUGCUCCAGGCAGCAUGGG
This 47140-nucleotide long non-coding RNA is filed under the name Marmota monax (woodchuck). Lineage: Eukaryota; Metazoa; Chordata; Mammalia; Rodentia; Sciuridae. The record is from RNAcentral.